Molecule: long non-coding RNA, 84121 nt
Filed under: Triticum aestivum (bread wheat)
Lineage: Eukaryota; Viridiplantae; Streptophyta; Magnoliopsida; Poales; Poaceae
Description: long non-coding RNA (TAES_LNC027730)
Rfam family: MIR1120/MIR1122 microRNA precursor family (bases 83734-83858)
Source: RNAcentral
UUAAUUCAGUUUGUCGUUUUUUACCUUUCCGAACAUUUUAGUUUGUGGUUGUUUCAAUCUGCUGCUGUUGUAUACUGUUGCCCGAAGAACACACUUGUGUGUUUGUGCGGCGUGGCAUGCAUGUAUCUUUAAUUUCCGUAUUAUGAGUACUGUGUAAAAGUUCCUUCUGCCGAACAAUUUGUUGGAGAACCUUUGCUGUACCUGUGUUUGUUUCUAGCGAUUCACCCUAUGGAUUUCUGUUUCCGACUAUACUCCAUCGUUGCUGUUGUGUUGUGUGUUGAGCUAGGAUGGGGAUCAGAGCAACGCGCAGGGGUGCGCAGGUGUCCCUGUGUUAGUUUCUACGAAUGGAGCAGGGACUUCAUCUCAUUGACCAGGUGGCCAUUAAGCGAGAAAUCUUUCGCCUUGUCUUUGAUUUUGCUCACCACGGACUGAGAAUCAGUCUCGUGGAAGAGCUUCCACACGUUUAUUUCCAUCGCCAGCCGGAUUACCCUGCGGCAGGCGGGCCAGUAGUGUUGAACAUGUGUACAUGUGGUCCGGGUUUUGUAUACCGCACCUGUAAUGUCAGCGAUCCAAUCUCAGACGCGGCCCCAGCACACACGAACGCCGCAGAGUCAGCACGAAGGAAUGACGUGGCAGCGGAAAGGCUCGUCUCCACCAAUCAGGGGCAGGGGCAUGUCAUCUCCAGGCCACCUCGGAUCAGGCACCCGAACCACAGGUUCGUGGGCCCUGAAUGGGCGAACCCUACUUAAGCCGCUCGGCGAGGCUGGUUCAGCAUCCAGGAGAAUCAGGUAUCGGCACGGCACGGCUUUUCUUUUUGAUUUUGCUUUCUCCUUUCCCUUCCCACAAGACAAAGGCUCGUCUCCACCAAUCAGGGGCAGGGGCGCGUCAUCUCCAGCCACCUCGGAUCAGGCACCCGAACCGCAGGUUCGUGGGCCCUUAAUGGGCGAACGCUAGUUAAGCCGCUCGGCGAGGCUGGUUCGGCAUCCAGGAGUAUUAGGCAUCAGUACGACACGACUUUCCUUUUUGAUUUUUCUUUCUCCUUUCCCUUCCCACAAGACAAACCACUAGCUCCCAAGCACAUAGGCCUCUCUACCUAUGAAAAGGAAUGUUUGGCGAUUUUAAUGGCAGUAGAGCAAUGGCGACCUUACUUGCAUCAUGAUGAGUUCCUGAUAAGAACGGAUCAGCGGAGUUUGGUGCACCUCGACGAUCAGCGCGAUCGUCGACAGUUUGGCAACAAAAAGCAUUCACCAAACUUUUGGAGCUGCGUUACAAAAUUUGCUAUAGGCAUGGAACCACAAACAGCGCAGCUGACGCCUUGUCCCGUCGUCACCACGAGCAAGGGCAAUCCAUGGCGAUAUCGGUCUGUCAACCUUCAUGGAUUGAAGAGAUCAGGACCAGCUACUUGGAUAAUCCUCAUGCAAAGAAAUUGCUGGAACAGUUCACGCAACAGGCAGACCCGAAGGGCCGUUUCUCGGUUGUCAUGGACUGUUGUAUUUCCGACAACGGCUGUGGCUAGGAGGAUCUCCAGCGCUACAGCAAUCCAUGCUACGUGCUUUUCAUGACAACAUAGUUGGAGGUCAUUCCGACUUUCCUGUGACUUAUCGGCGCCUCCGCAGUGUCACACCCUAGCUAGUCAUGCAUUAGAGUGUUGCAUCAUGUUUACUUUUUCAUCAGAAACUUGAAAUGGGGAUGACAGAACCCCCAGUCCCCUCUGAAACCAACUAGGGUUACUAAAAUAAUUUUUCAAUGAACCUGAAAUGCCCUUCUAAAAUGUCCAUCAUUUUAGCCUUGGUUCAGAACCUCUGACAAAAGUGGUGCACAUUUUUCUAGGCCAUCAUAGGGUCUUUGAAUUAAAUCAUAGAUAUUUGAAUUUGGGCAUUUAAAAUAAUAUAAAAUAUUUAAAUGCUCAAAUAUCUCCAAACUAAAAUGUUUCAUGUUGGAAAUAAUCCAACUAUGGACCAGGAGUAGUUUGGUGAAUUUUGGAGUUGCCUAGGUAUUUUAUUUAAUUCAACAAAGUUGCAGAUAUAUUAAAUAAAACAGAAAACAGAAAAGAAAGGGGAAAGACUUACCUNNNNNNNNNNNNNNNNNNNNNNNNNNNNNNNNNNNNNNNNNNNNNNNNNNNNNNNNNNNNNNNNNNNNNNNNNNNNNNNNNNNNNNNNNNNNNNNNNNNNNNNNNNNNNNNNNNNNNNNNNNNNNNNNNNNNNNNNNNNNNNNNNNNNNNNNNNNNNNNNNNNNNNNNNNNNNNNNNNNNNNNNNNNNNNNNNNNNNNNNNNNNNNNNNNNNNNNNNNNNNNNNNNNNNNNNNNNNNNNNNNNNNNNNNNNNNNNNNNNNNNNNNNNNNNNNNNNNNNNNNNNNNNNNNNNNNNNNNNNNNNNNNNNNNNNNNNNNNNNNNNNNNNNNNNNNNNNNNNNNNNNNNNNNNNNNNNNNNNNNNNNNNNNNNNNNNNNNNNNNNNNNNNNNNNNNNNNNNNNNNNNNNNNNNNNNNNNNNNNNNNNNNNNNNNNNNNNNNNNNNNNNNNNNNNNNNNNNNNNNNNNNNNNNNNNNNNNNNNNNNNNNNNNNNNNNNNNNNNNNNNNNNNNNNNNNNNNNNNNNNNNNNNNNNNNNNNNNNNNNNNNNNNNNNNNNNNNNNNNNNNNNNNNNNNNNNNNNNNNNNNNNNNNNNNNNNNNNNNNNNNNNNNNNNNNNNNNNNNNNNNNNNNNNNNNNNNNNNNNNNNUGCGUGCUCGCGCGCGCGCGGCCGCGCGGCCACCUCCUGCUUGCCGACGCCCUCCUGGCCGCGUGGACGACGUCCGCAGCCCGUCCCGAUCCCCCCUGCUCUCUCUCACUCUCCCCCGUUUCUCCCUCGCUCUCUCUCGCUCUCGGCCGAAGCACACCGUCGCCGCCGUUCGCCGUAGCCACUGUCUCCGGCCACCCCUUGCUCCCCCGAGUAGCUCAGAAGCUCCGCCUCAACUCCCUCUUCCUCCCCACCGCUCCACGAGUCCCCGGAAGCCCUGCAUCGCCGCCACGUCGCCGUUCCCCUCUUCGGGCUCCGACCACCGUCGCCGACGAAUUCGCCGUCUCCAGCGCGUCCCCGAGCCCGCUUCGACGCCCACUGCAACCGCGGUGAGCUACGCCACCGUUUCCCCCUCUUCUCCCCCUCGUUCCCUCACCGUAGCUUCAUCUCCACCACGGCCGAACCUCCGCCGUCGCCGAGCUCGCCGUCGACGCAGCUCCGGUGACCAUUUGGUCACCCCGGCGAGUCCAACGCGUUCACAGAACCUAGUAGAGCAUCCCUAGCGCCUCACUUUGCUCGACUUCGAGCUCCAGCACCACUCCCGUGCACGACCGAACCCCGGCGGCCGCAGCCGAGCUCACCGCCGUCAACUCCGGCCACCCCGACCCCAACGGACUCCGCCAAGAGCCGCGGGUCGUCCUCGGCUUCACUCCGGUGGCCUCCGCGGUUCAUUUGGUGGCCGAAACGACCAAAACCACUAUCGCCGCCGCACUGAUGGUCGCCGCCGGCCAGAACUCCGGCGAGCUGACGUGGCCUAGUUGAUUAACCACUAAUCCACCACCUACUGACGCUGACAAGUGGGCCCAGGGCUUAGUCAAAGCUAACCAGCCCGGGGUCAACGCGGGAUUAGCCCCAGUGACACUGACGUGUGGACCCCACACGUCAGGUUUGACCCGAGCCAGCUCUGUUGACCUGCUGAUGUCACUGUGAUGUCAGGCUGACGCAGUAAAUGAUAUUUCUGGAUUUAAAUUAAAUCAGGAAAUUCCAGAAUAUUAUUUAAACUUCAAAAAUUCAUAACUUUUAUUCUGUAACUCCAAAUUGGACAAAUUAUAUAUGAAAAAUGAUCAGAAAAAUCCAAUCUAUCCAUCUGUACUAUUUUCAUGCAUGAUCAAACAAGUUAAAUUGAUGUUUUAAUCAGAACAAGGAAAGGCACUUUAAAAGGCCAUAUUUGAAUUUGAAAUUUGAAUCUUUGAUUCAAAUUUGCUCAAACCCUUCUGGCUUUAGUUGCAUUAGCCCAACACACUCAUAUUGCCAUGUUUCAUGCAUGCAUCAUAUUGUUGCACAUUGUUUGGUGAUGCCUGUGUAUCGUUAUCCUUUGCGACAGGAUCUGUCCCCGAGGAGUACCGUGACUACCCUAACGAAGAACCGUAUCCGUGCAACGAACCAUCAGGCAAGCAGCCAACCAUUUGAUCAUAUCGAUACAAUCCCAUGUUCUCGCUCCUGCUCUCUUUUACUGCAUUAAGACAACGCGAUUCAAACUGCUGUGUGCUACGGUAGUUGAACCCAUUUCCUCUGCAUGACCUGUCAUUGCCACAGUAACUAGAUGAAACCCACUAGCAUGUGUAGGAGUUGAUUGAGCCCUAUGUAUGUGUUGUUCCUACCUUGCUAUGCCUGCUAUGCUUAGAGUCGUGUCAGGUCUGGUUCAUCUGGGUGAUGGGCUAGAGUGAAAUGAUUAUGUCGGUAAUGAGAGUGGUGUGGUGAACACGAUUUGGUAAAGGUAUCGAUGAGAGGCCAUGUAGGAGUACAUGGUGGGUUGUUUCAUUGAAGCCGACCUUAAGCACUGAGAUCUGUAUGUGUGAUUUAAGAAUCAGCUACUACCAUGCAUUGGGCCCGAAACCAAUGGACCCUCUCGACUUCUUAUUCACCCUNNNNNNNNNNNNNNNNNNNNNNNNNNNNNNNNNNNNNNNNNNNNNNNNNNNNNNNNNNNNNNNNNNNNNNNNNNNNNNNNNNNNNNNNNNNNNNNNNNNNNNNNNNNNNNNNNNNNNNNNNNNNNNNNNNNNNNNNNNNNNNNNNNNNNNNNNNNNNNNNNNNNNNNNNNNNNNNNNNNNNNNNNNNNNNNNNNNNNNNNNNNNNNNNNNNNNNNNNNNNNNNNNNNNNNNNNNNNNNNNNNNNNNNNNNNNNNNNNNNNNNNNNNNNNNNNNNNNNNNNNNNNNNNNNNNNNNNNNNNNNNNNNNNNNNNNNNNNNNNNNNNNNNNNNNNNNNNNNNNNNNNCCUCGGUAGUGUAUUGAAGUGGUGAGUAGUGGACUCGUGUGCGCAAAACUGUUUCAAAUGGAGUAUCGUAGGAUAGUCUAGCCAAGAGUCAAAGCUGGCUUGCUGCAAUAACUCCACCAACCCUUCUUGAUACUGUGCAUGUAUGUAGGAUCUGAUGUAAGUCUUGCUGAGUACCUUUGUACUCAUGUUGCUAUAUUCUACAUUUUUACAGAAGACGCUGCAACCCCUUCUGAUGGGUUUUAUGUAGACGUGGACAUCAACGAGUAGGCUAAAAGACCCAGGUGGUGACCCUGAGCUUGUGAAGAACCACAUAGUAUAGCCAGGCUUUCCAAGCCUCUUUUAUUUUACUAGUUGUCUGUACUCAGACAAGUUACUUCCGCUGUUGGCUUGUAUGAUUGUAUGACUUGUAUGUUGCGUCGUGAGACCCGUACCUUUGUGUGUAUGUUAUGUAUGGCUCUCUGAGCCCUAAAUAAAGUACUUGUGUCGUAGAGUCAUGUUGUGAUGCUUCGUUGUAUUUGCACAUAUCGAGCAUAUUGUGUGUAUGAUUGAAAUGCUUGGUAUGUGUGGGAUCUGACUAUCUAGUUGUUUAUCUUUAGUAGCCUCUCUUACCGGGAAAUGUCUCCUAGUGUUACCGCUGAGCCAUGGUAGCUUGCUACUGCUCUGGAACACUUAGGCUGGCCGGCAUGUGUCCUUCUUCGUUCCUGUGUCUGUCCCUUCGGGGAAAUGUCACGCUUUGAGUACCGGAGUCCUGUUAGCCCGCUACAGCCCGGUUUACCGGAGUCCUGCUAGCCCAGUGCUACAGCCCGGACCCACUUGCUGAUGACCGACACGUUCGAAGCUGGGUCAUGGAUGCCUGUCCCUGUAAGUCUGUGCCACUUUGGGUUUACGACUAGUCAUGUCAGCCCGGGCUCUUUAUCAUAUGGAUGCUAGCGACACUAUCAUAUACGUGAGCCAAAAGGCGCAAACGGUCCCGGGAAAAGGUAAGACGACACCCGUGGGGAUACCGUGCGUGAGGCCGCAAAGUGAUAUGAGGUGUUACCAGCUAGAUCGAUGUGACAUCGAGUCGGGGACCUGACACGCAGGCUCUUUGCGUGGCCGAAGAUGAAGCAGAUCAUCAGAGAGUACGUGCAGCAGUGCAUAGUUUGCCAGCAAGCAAAACCGGAGAGGGUUAAAUACCCUGGUCUGCUCGAACCUAUCCCAAUUCCGGAAGAGGGGCCUGGCAAGUUAUGACAAUGGACUUCAUCGAUGGCCUCCCACAAUCAGGCAGAGCGAAUUGCAUCCUCGUCGUGGUGGACAAGUUCACGCGAUAUGCACAUUUUCUAGCUCUCCAACAUCCAUUCACAGCAGCCAGGGUAGCUCGCUCUUACUUGGACAAUGUGUAUAGGCUGCACGGUCUGCCCAAGGCCAUCAUCUCGGACAGGGAUCCAGUGUUUACAAGCAAGUUCUGGUGUGAGCUGUUUACCUGCAUAGGCUCGGAACUGAAGAUGAGCACCCUGUAUCAUCCACAGACGGAUGGACAAUCAGAAAGAGUGAAUCAGUGCCUCGAGAUUUAUCUGAGAUGCUUCAUCCAUGCCUGUCGAAAUCACUUGAGUUAGUUUCUUUCCCUAGCUAAGUUUUGGUACAAUACCAGCUAUCACUCGGCACUGGAGAUGUCACCAUUUCAAGCUUUGUACGGCCAUGAGCCAAGACAUUGGGGGAUUGAGGCAGCUUCAGUGUGCAAAGUUCCAGCGCUGAAAGAGUGGGUUGAGGAGCGAAAGACCAUGCAACAAGUUCUCAAACAACAUCUCCACCGGGCACGCCACAUCAUGAAAGUUCAGGCAGACAAAAAACGCUCUGUCAGAGAAUUCCAAGUGGGAGAUGCCGUCUUCAUCAAGCUACAACCUUACGUACAGUCGUCGGUGCAUCACCGAGCCAAUCAUAAGCUUUUGUUCAGAUACUUUGGGCCGUUUCAGGUGUUGCGCAGGAUCAACCCAGUGGCGUAUGAACUCGCUUUGCCGCAGGAGUCGCGCAUCCACCUCGCCUUCCAUGUUUCUUAGCUUCGCCAAGCACUUGCACCAUGUACGGCUGCAUCAUCUACACUACCGGUUCUUCCUUCUGCAUAACUCUUUCCAGUGGAGCUCCUGGACAAACGUUGCAGGCAAACCCCCGCUGGCCGCCACGAACAGUACCUGGUGCGAUGGUCGGAUUCAGACCAGCUCAAUGCUUCGUGGGAAGAUGCCCUCGCGCUCAAGGGUAGGUAUCCGGCUGUAGCAGCUUGGGGACAAGCAUGCUCUCAAGGAGUAGGGGAUGUCAGCGAUCCAAUCUCAGAUGCGGCCCCAUCACACACAAACGCCGUCAAGUCAGCACGAAGGAAUGAUGUGGCAGCGGAAAGGCUCGUCUCCACCAAUCAGGGGUAUGGGCACGUCAUCUGCAGGCCACCUCGGAUCAGGCACCCGAACCGCAGGUUCGUGGGCCCUGAAUGGGCGAACACUACUUAAGCUGCUCGGCGAGGCUGGUUUGGCAUCCAGGAGGAUCAGGCAUCGGCACGACACGACUUUUCUUUUUGAUUUUGCUGUCUCCUUUGCCUUCCCCCAAGACAAAGUGAAACUUUGUAAUCUACUGGUGAGUGUGAGAAACUAGAUCGAGAUCCAUCUCCUAACAUGUAGUGUCUCUCUCCCUUUGUAUGUACUUGUAUCUUCGGAGAAAAGAUACCGGUCGCACACCUUGUACCUAUAUAUAUGUGCCUAGUGCACGAUCAAUGAGAUAUUGAUGCACCAAAUCAUUCUCUACAUGGUAUCAGAUAGCAUCACGAUCCUCUCCCAAAACCGCUUCCGCCUACCCUAGCUGCCGCCGCCUUGGGCCGCCACCGCCGCCAUCUACAGCCGCCGCCCCCGCCCCACGCCGCCGCUACCUCCCUCUCCCCGCGUGCGCCUCCCCUCCGAGUCGCACCCUCCCUCCCCUGCGGCGCCGCUCUCCCGCCGCACCGCUCCCCUUGCCGUGCCGCUCCUCCUGCCGCGCUGCACCCUCACCCAACCCUAGCCCCGCCUCUCCUCCUCAUCACUACGCUGCCGCCAUGUCAUCCAACGCCUCCACCUACUCCAAUCCCUUCGUCGGGCCGGACCCCACUGACAUCCGCGACAUCAACAUCCACGAACGCGUCCCCGUCGUCCUCGAUGCCACCGACUCCAUGUACUUCGCAUGGAAGACGUACUUUUCGCUGCUCUUCUGCGGGAACAAUCUCAUGGAUCAUGUUGAGGGCACCGUCGACUCCCGCGCCAUGGCAGGCGACUCCGAGUGGACCGCGAUUGACGCCACGCUCAUCUGGUGGUUCUUCACCACCAUCUUGAAGGACCUGUUUCAUACGGUCAUGAGCGAUGGUGAUGACGCCCGUGUCGUGUGGGUCAAGCUCAACGGCCUCUUCACAGACAACAAGAUUCAGUGCCGCAUUUUUUUGCAGCAGGAUUUUUUUGACUGUCAUCAGGAUGACAAGUCUAUCAAAGACUACUGCCGCCGCCUGAAGACGUUGGCGGAUGAACUCCAUGAGAUCGGCGCCAAAGUUGAUGACGACCUCCUCCUCAGCAUGCUCACCGCCGGCCUCAACGAGGACUUCAGAAAUGCCGCUUCCAACCUCACCUUGAUGCCGGAGCCCUCCUUCCCAAGUUUGUGGCGUACUUGCGGUUAGAGGAGUGCCGGAUGAAGGGGGUCAAGAAGCGCGUGCAGCACCAUGCCCUCGCCUUCGGCAACUCACGAAGCGCCCCGCCAACGGCCACCCCGCCCGUGCCACGGAAACAGCCACCGCCCCCGGGAUUUUUUCCCUCCCGCCCGCGCCCCCCGUUGCCCCCUAGCUGCAGCCGUAGGGUGCACUACUAGGGAAAAGCUUAUACACAUAAUCUUAGCAGUAGCGCUGGGUAAAAUGAGGCACUGCUGCUACACAAAAUCCUUUCAGUAGCAGCAUGUAAUAGCGAAACGCGCUGCUGCUAAGUUUGAACUCGGGCAUAAUGGCUAGCCCCACCUAGUAGCAGCGCGUACAAAGAUAGCGCGCUACUGCUAUUCUCCGUAGUAGUAGCGCUUUUCUUAGACACUCGCUACUACUAUUCCUACCUUAUCGUCCCCCAUGUGACAGAGACCCCCUCACUCUCCCUCUCACUCAGUACUCUCUCCCCUGCGCCCCCGUUGUUCGCCGCCACCACCGCUAGAGAUCUGGUGCUUCACAUCCACUGAGGUACUCCUUCCUCGCUCUUCCUCCCUCCUCCCUCCUUCUCCAUCCGCCCCUCCUUCCUCCUCCAUCGGGCGCCCNNNNNNNNNNNNNNNNNNNNNNNNNNNNNNNNNNNNNNNNNNNNNNNNNNNNNNNNNNNNNNNNNNNNNNNNNNNNNNNNNNNNNNNNNNNNNNNNNNNNNNNNNNNNNNNNNNNNNNNNNNNNNNNNNNNNNNNNNNNNNNNNNNNNNNNNNNNNNNNNNNNNNNNNNNNNNNNNNNNNNNNNNNNNNNNNNNNNNNNNNNNNNNNNNNNNNNNNNNNNNNNNNNNNNNNNNNNNNNNNNNNNNNNNNNNNNNNNNNNNNNNNNNNNNNNNNNNNNNNNNNNNNNNNNNNNNNNNNNNNNNNNNNNNNNNNNNNNNNNNNNNNNNNNNNNNNNNNNNNNNNNNNNNNNNNNNNNNNNNNNNNNNNNNNNNNNNNNNNNNNNNNNNNNNNNNNNNNNNNNNNNNNNNNNNNNNNNNNNNNNNNNNNNNNNNNNNCUCCGGCCGCCCACUGUUAAGAAUUAGUUUAUUUUUAUUUACAGUAAUUGAUUAGUUAAAUUAAUAGAACUAGUUGAACUAGUUUAUUUUUAGUAAGAAGUAGUUUAUUUUUAUUUUUAUUAAUUGCUUAGUUGAACAAGUUAAAUUAGUAGAACUAGUUUAUUUUUAGUAAGAACUAAUUUAUGUUUAGUAAGAACUAGUUUAUUUUUACUUAUAGUAAGUGUUAAGUUGAACUAGUUGAAUUAAUAUAACUAGUUUAUUUUUAGUAAGAAAAUUUAGGUAUAUGAGAUUUGAUGAUCUAAUUAAAAUUUUACUAUAGAACUAGUUUAUAUUUAGUAAGAAAAUUAAUAAAACUAGUUUGUUUUUUAUGUCAUUAUCACUUUGUCAUCAAAGAAUGCUAUAUGAGAUUUGAUGAUCUAAUUAAAAUUUUACUCGGUGGAAUAUGCAGGCUUAGUCGUGUCUCCUUGGAGUGAUCAUCAUCCGAGCUACCUCCACUUCCUCUACACCCGAGUCGGUGAGAUAAAAGUCCACCUCCUCCUUCUCCACCUUCUUCUACUUCCGAACUAGGGUAUUUAGUUAUAAGAUAUACUAAAAUGUUUUUGUCAAUAUUGAACCAUUGAAAUGCAAUGAUCACCAGUUUAUGCUCAUGUGCAAAGUGUUCAUUCAUUUCCAAUGACCUAUGUUUUGCCAGAGUGUUGAUUCAUUUCUGUUCUGGCAAAUUUCAGGCUCUCGAUAUGUCCUAUUUUAGCAAAGGUCAUGCCAGAUUUUUCCGUGAAUUUAGGCAUGACUUGUGCUAGAAUAUGUAGGAAAUAUCGAGUGCCCCGGAUUUGCUAGAAAGAGAACUAAACGACAUUUCGAGUUGACUUUAAGUCUGUCAGGGCUCCAUACAUGACUAUCCAAAAAUCGAUGAGGGAGAGUCUCCACCAUAUAUGAGAGAAGAAUGCCGAUUUUUGUCGUGGGGGUCACUUUUACUUCUUCUCUUUGUGCUAGACCUUUGUUAUGCACUAGGGGAAGAAGGAUUAGCAACCAUCAUCGAUGGUCGAAAAAUCAAUGACGGAGUGUCCACCAUAUAUGAGAGAAGAAGAAUGCCGACUGUUGUCGUGGGGGUCGCUUCUCCUUCUUUUACUUGUGCUAGAUAUUUGUAAUGCACUAGGGAAAGGAGGAGUAGCGACCAUCACCAAUGGUCGCAAUAUUAGAGAGGGAGUGCCCACCAUAUACGUGGGAUCAGAGUUUAGGAAGUAAGACUCAACAGACCUAAAGUCAACCCGUUGCAUAUUGAGUAAUAGUGAUAUGUGUGUUGAGUUCCCUGGUAGUUGCCUUCGGUCGAUUUUUAAUUAAUGUUUCAACUAUGAACAUAAGAAAUGUCUGACGAUGAAAAGAAAUUCGGUAUGUGCGAAUACUGCAAAGACGAGAGCGGUGUGUGCGACAGGCCUCACCUAGUUGGUGGUAGGCGCUUUAGCAUCAAGCUGGAUGACACCUUCGAAGUGGAUACAGUAAGUCACAACGACAAGUCUUUUUUCGUAAUUAAGCAUGACUUAUGCUUCUUUUGCUUCAACUUAUAAUUUUUUUACUGUUCUACUAGCGUAUCCCCUGCCAUGCAAGAAUAUAUGUCUUAGAUAAGGUUGGUUUCAGUACUAUGGAAACUAUGGAGGUAAAAAGAGUUAACUUGAGGACCGAGCAUGGUUAUAUUUUUCUCGCAAAAUUAUACAAUACAGACACCUACACCCAUUUUCAAUGCAAAUAAUGGAGAACACUAUGCAAGGCUUAUGCAUUUCAUCCUGAUAUGCUUAUCACCUUUGAUAUCGUCCGGAAGAAGAUAUUGAAGAUAAUAUCGACAUCUGGGUCGAUGUGCAGACGCCUCCAGUUCUACCAUUAUGUAAGUUUCUCAACCAUAUUUAUGUGUUGGAUAUUGUUUAUUCAAAAAUAUUUGACAACUAUUUUUAUUGACAUCUUAUUUCCAUUCAAGCAAACAUGUCCAGCGGGACCUACCACUAUCGCAGGGCUGAACUAAACUGCGAGGAGACAAGUCAUUCGGUUUCAUGGCUUGAGGAUCUUCAUACCGUCAAGAUAAAUUAUUUUCCUGGACAUAGAAAUCUUAGUACUCAAAAUGUGCGACCAAUAGUGUUCGUACUGAACUAUGGUCACAUCUAUUUAGGAAAGAUGGUAAGAUUUUUACUAUUUGUCCUCAGUGCAUCUUUUGCAUACAAUAUUUUUUAAGCUAAACUUCAUUGCUAAGUAUGUUACUACGAUGUUCUUCAACAGGGACUCCCGAUGAUAGUUGUGCCUCAGUGGAUCAAAGCUAAAGGUCGCAUGUCCAUGGUUAGCAUAUGGCCAAGACUUCUUACAUUGCACAUGAGUGCAUUCAGGAUUUCUAGAAGCGAGCAAUUCUUAAUAGUCAAAGAUUGGAACAAAAUUAUGAAGGAUCACAGAGAAGUACUUGGAGGCAGCAAUCAGAAGCGCAACCCACAAUUAGGAGACAAGUUCAUCUGCAUGCUUCAAUACGAUGAAUCAGGAGCGCUCCACAUGUUCUUUGCUAUUUUACCUGAGAGAGGGAGGGAGGGAGAGAGAGCAGUACGAGUGAUUAGCUAGCUAAAAUGAGUGUUAGUGGUGAUGACUAUGAUGAUUAAUAUUAGCUAGUGUUGGUGGUGAUUAGCUAUGAAUAUGAUGAUUAAAUAGUGUUGGUAGUAAUAACUAUGAUGAUUAUUAGCUAGUGUUGUUCGUGAUGAUAUGAUGCAAGAGUUCUUAUAUUAAUAUGAUGAUGAUGAUGAUGAUGAUGAUGAGUAUGUUAUUAUAUCAUUGGGUGAAAGAACCGCGUAUUAGUUUUAAGUGGAUGGAUCCUAAGUGAUCAAGUCAUGGAUUAUCGUGAUAAUCCAUGACCACACUUAGGAUCCAUCUAAUUGAAACUAAUCCGCAGUUCUUUCACCUAGUGAUUUAAUAACUCAUUAUAGUGUAAAAACAAUCUCUAAAUUGCUACUGUAUGAAAAAUUGUAUAAAAGUGUAUGAAUACGACCUAAAAUUAAAAAGAAAUAGAAUACGGAAAAAUAGUAGUAGCGCGGGCGGAGAGAAGCGCUACUAGUAAUUACCAGUAGCGGUUGUCUAGGAAAGCGCUAUUACUAAGUAGAUGUAGCAGUAGCGUGUGCCAGCAAACGCUACUGCUAAGCUUUAGCUGUAGCGCCGUAUCAGUAGCGCGGGUACCCACGCUACCGAUAUGCCAAUAAACCACGCUACUGCUAGGCUUUUCCCUAGUAGUGGCGGUGGGUGGCGCGGCAACUGCCGCGGCGGCGACCGCAAGUAGCAACACAGGCGCACGGGGGGGGGGGGACUCCUCGUCAGUAGCAGCAGGCCACCCCACCGUGAACUUACGACACCAAUCCGUGGACGGGUGUCAUUCACGCAUACUCGAUGCCGGUCCCUCGGGCUCCUACCCCAGGCAUUCUUGGGCCCUGCCUGACGAGACACCAGGCGUUCUUCGCUGCGCCCAACGGUGCCCCCUACCCGGCAUCGCUGGCUACGGGCGGCUAUGGUGCCGCCCCUGCGCCUGCCUACGGCUGGUUCUACCGGCCCCAUGUGCCGCCACCGUGGGAUCCUGUGCUCCUCGCCGCCCUGCAUUCGGCUCCGUCAUUGAGUAACUAUGGUGGCGGCGGUGGCUGGUACAUGGACUCGGGCGCCACUGCUCACAUGACUGCUCAUCCUAGUAACCUCACGUAUUCCACUCCCGUUCAUACUCCCACUCGCAUCACCAUUGGUAACGGUUCCUCCUUACCCAUUACACAUGUCGGUCAUAUGUCGUUUCCUUCAACCUCUACUCCUAUUAAUAUGCCUAAUGUUCUUGUCUCUCCUGACUUAGUUACCAACCUUGUCUCCACCUUGCUCCUGAGAACCCUAUCACUGUUGAAUUUGACUAUGUUGGCUUUUCUAUGAAGGACGCCCGUACACGGAUGGUACUCCACCGAUGUGAUAGCCGGGAUGAGCUCUACCCGGUGAAUCCUUCCGCCGGCACCACCACCCGUCCCACCGCGCUCGCCACUAGUGUCGAUCUUUGGCACGCCCGCCUCGGUCAUCCCAACUCCACAGUUUUGCGUUAGAUUCUUCAGAGUUUUUUAUUCUCAUGUAAUAAGGUCGACGACCACUCUUGUGAGGCAUGCCGUCUUGGCAAGCACGUUCGUCUUCCCUUUAGUGAGUCUACAAACAUUUCCACUUUUCCAUUUCAGUUAUUGCAUAGUGAUGUUUGGACGUCCCCGGUUGCAAGCAACACGGGUUAUCUAUACUAUUUCGUGAUAUUGGAUGAUUUUUCCCAUUAUGUGUGGACAUUUCCUCUCCGUUGCAAGUCCAAUGCUCUCGUCACACUCAACACUUUUUAUUCAUAUGUCACCACACAGUUUCAUCGUCCUAUUCUUGCCUUGCAAACUGACAACGGAAAAGAGUUUGACAAUGUUGCCGUUCACAAUCUCCUUGCGUCUCACGGCACUAUUUUUCGGCUCACUUGCCCCUACACGUCACAGCAGAAUGGCUGCGCCGAGCGCGUCAUCUGCACUCUUAAUGACUGUGUCCGCACGUUGCUCUUCCACUCUAACCCGCCUCCUCGGUUCUGGCCGGACGCUCUCGCGACCGCCAGCCUUCUCAUUAACAUCCGCUCGUGUCGUCCUUGCUGCAACUAUUCUCCUCACCGGCUCCUCUUUGGUGCGGCUCGAUCUUAUGAUGUUCUUUGCAUUUUCGGGUUUCUCUGUUAUCCUAGCACCGCGACCACCGCCCCUCACAAACUCGCUCCCCGGUCGGUUCCUUGCAUCUUCCUCAGUUAUCCUCCCAACACCAAAGGUUACCGGUGCUAUGGUCCAGUGUCACACCGCGUCUUCACUUUGCGGCAUGUGUACUUUGAUGAGCUGGUGUUCCCACUUCAGCAGGUACCGUCCACUUCGGCAUCUCCCGCGGCGCGGCUCGCCCCUGCCACCACCUAUGGUGAGUCGGCACGCCGAGCACUGGGCCCGGCCCUGCCCGCGCCUCUGGCGCCAGCCACCCCUCCUGUGGCGCUUCGAGUGUGGAUGCCCCUUCGGGCGCCCCCACCGCCGCGGGCUCUGGUGCCCCCUCGGGCGUCCCCGAUGCCGAGGCCCCCUUGGGUGCCCCUGUCGUCGCGGCCCCCUCGGUCGCCCCCAUCGCCGCAGCCCCUUCGGCCGUCCCCGUCACCGAGGCCUCUAGCGCCGCCGCGGGUGGCCCCUCAGAGUCUUCAGAGAAUGGCUCGACUUCCUCCCCGCCGGUCCCCCUCUUGGCUCCACCGGAUGCGGCCGCACCUCUCACUGGUGUGGUUACUCGGGCUCGUACUAGGAUGUUUCGUCCUAGCACGCGCUACACCUCCGAUGAGUACGCAUGUGAUGCGUCUACCUCGGCGCCGUCCCCACUCCCUACCUCUGCCCUCACAGCCCUUCGGGAUCCGAAGUGGCUUGCUGCGAUGCAUGAGGAGUUCGACACCUUGCAGCGCAACCAUACGCGGCAGCUUCUCCCGUAGCCUCCAUGCGCCAAUGUUAUCACUGGAAAGUGGGUCUUACGCCACAAGACUCACCCCGGCGGUUCUCUUGAGCUCUAAAGGCGCGUUGGGUGGUGCGCGGCUUCCACCACCGCGCCGGCGUGGACUUCACCGAGACCUUCGCCCCGGUCGUCAAACAGGGCACGAUUUGCGCUGUCCUCCAGCUUGUUGUCUCUCGCACCUGGCCAGUUCACCCACUCGAUGUGUCCAAUGCUUUCUUGCAUGGCCAUCUCGACGAGCAGGUGUUUUGUCAGGAGCCUACUGGUUUCGUCGACACCGACUAUCCGGACCAUGUGUGCUUGCUCUCCCGUUCUCUCUACGGGUUGAAGCAGGCGCCUCGGGCCUGGUACCAGCGGAUCACGACCUUCCUUCUGCAACAGGGGUUCCAGUCCACACUGUCCGAUGCCUCCCUGUUUGUUAAUCACCAGGGCACCGCCACCGCAUACCUUCUCCUGUACGUCGACGACAUCAUCCUGACUACGUCCUCGCCAGCGCAACUUCAGCAGACCAUAGCUCGCCUUGGCACUGAGUUCUCCCUCAAGGACUUGGGGGCCCUCCACUACUUCCUCGGCAUUUAGGUGGUCCGCCGUGUCACCGGCUUCUUCCUGCAUCAGCAGAAUUAUGCCUUCAAGCUUCUGGAGUGAGCCGACAUGCUUAACUGCAAGCUUGCUACCAUGCCUGUCGAUACGAAGGCUAAGGUGUCCACCAUCUAGGGCUCUCCGGCGUUCGACGCUUGCUUUUACCACUCCAUCAUCGAUGCUCUUCAGUACCUCACACUGACACGUCCAGAUUUCAGUAUGCCGUCCAGCAGGUGUGCCUCCACAUGCAUGCUCCUCGUGACACUCAUUGGUUUCUGGUGAAACGUAUUCUCCAGUAUAUAUGUGGCACCACGGCUAUGGGUCUCACCCUGACGGCAUCACCUGACACCAGCCUCGUCGCCUACUCCGACGCCGACUGGGCUAGGUGUCCUGACACUCGGCGCUUCACUUCCGGCUACUGCAUCUACCUCAGGCCCUCUCUGAUUUCAUGGUCGCCUAAACGACAACCCACGGUCUCACAAUCGAGCGCCGAGGCCGAGUACAGGGUUGUGGCCAACGCAAUCGCGGAGUGCUCCUAGCUACGACAACUACUUCAGGAGUUGCUAUGUGAGGUUCCCAAGGACACUCUUGUCUACUGUGACAACGUCUCCGCGGUCUACCUCACUGUCAACCCUGUUCAUCACCGACGGACGAAGCAUAUUGAGCUCGACAUUCACUUUGUCCGGGAGCAUGUCGCACUUGGUCGUGUUCGAGUUCUACAUGUCCCCACCGAUCAGCAGUUCGCCGAUGUUAUGACAAGGGACUACCUACCUCGACUUUUGAGGGCUUUCGGUCCAGUCUUUGCAUCAUCGGUGACGCUUCGACUGCGCCGGGGGGGGGGGCGUGUUGACCAUGUGUACAUAUACGUAGGUCCGGAUUUUGUAUGCCACCUGUAGUGUCUCUCUCCCUCUGUAUGUACUUGUAUCUUGGGACACAAGACACCGGUCGCACCCCUUGUACCUAUAUAUAUAUAUAUAUAUAUAUAUAUGCCUAGUGCACGAUCAAUAAGAUAUCAAUGCACCAAAUCAUUCUCUACAACUAGUUCCGCCAUCUCCUAGUCAGCAACAGAGGGAAAGAAAUGGCGCGCCCUAGCAAGGAGCGCAUCGCACCAUGAUGGUCCCAUAGGACCUUUCCCCGCUCCGAAGUCCAGGGCUUUCGACAUUGCACCAUUGCCGUUUGCCUUCACCCAAACCCUCGUCUAGUGGGCACCACUUCUCCACCAGUAUAGGCAUGGAGGAACUCGUCGCUCGCUCUUGUACCAACUUCCAUUCUUCAUUCAGUCAGAGCACCAUGUCCAUGACUUGCACUGGAUCUUCCAUCUUCUGGUCCUCCUUAGCACACUUAGCACAAGUGUCCGCUCCUCGACCUUGGCCGGGUACGAGACAAUAUCAGGUGGAAACCAAAUUUUCAGUGUAAGCUUGAAAACCUGAGCGCAGGCUGUUGGAUCCCAUGUGUACGGACUAGAUCCAUCCAUCACUGCUACGUGCUGUUUGCAAAUAAACGCCCGCUGGGUUGCAAUGAUAUUUUGCACAUAGCCCCUCAGUGUUUACAAGUCAUCAAAGUCAGCAUCGUCACCCCAUGUCUCCACGUAGACGUUUUAUACCAGAAGUGAAACACUGAUAAGCAAGUAUAAACGCCCUGUUUGAUAUUGUAGCAGCAAACGCCCUAUUUGGGUAAACAAAACAACAUCACACUCUGCUCAACACAAUUCUGCCAAAAGGCAAGUAAAGCAAACAAGUAAUAGAAUUAGAACCCUGCUUAACAGAACUCUGCCCCUAAAAAAGAAAACUCUGCCCAGUUCCAAACAAUGCACUACUAUUAGUCCUAAUAACUUGCAGAAAUCUUGCCACCAAGCAACCUGAAACAGAAGAGUUGAAUUGGUCAGGCAAUAGAAAUUAAUUGCAAUACCUAAUCUCAGAUCACUUCACUAAUCAAUUGCAAUAGAAAUUAAAUCUGAUGGCAAACAUCAUUUCUAUAAUUUUCUAUGCUCAACCAGUUCCAACAUCUUUCUUAUUUCCCAUCAUACUGCACACAAUUCUAUCGCCGUAAGAGUUCCUUGUUGCUGCAUUAAGGGUGUGUUUGUUUGGGCUGCAAAUUUCACGGGUGGAGGUGCUGUAACUUUCAAUGACUCGAUUAAGACCUGUUCUUGCUGCAGAUGGCUACUUUUGACAUGAUUUUAACUGAAAUUACAGUUUUUUGAUAGUUUAGACAAUGUAUUUAGACGAUUUUCACAUAUAAUUUGCCGAUUAUAAGUUAAAUCAUCUAUUCAACAUGUUGCUUAAAUGAAACGACUGAGUUGUAAGUUAAUCAUCCAUGACUACUCAUGAAUGUUUUCAGCCAAAAAAAUGAUGUAAAGAUGGCAGUAGCAGUACCAGUUCACUGUCAACAGGACUAGCAGCAAUGGCACACACAUACAAAAAGUCUAGGAUUUUGUUUCUCACUCUCAAUCACACUAACUAGCAGUAGCACACACACAUAAAUUAACCUAGCAAAUUUGCAGAAGCACGUACAAGCCCUAGACACCGCUCGAUCUUUCUAAAUUCACAUACUUAUCAUCAUCUAAAUUCCAUCUAGACAGUAGCAGUAGCAGUUCAUAGACAUAGAUCAAUUUUCGUUAGACCACAGUCGCACAGAGCACACACACUCCAGGAACAUAUAGUCAUAGACGUAUAUAACACUUAAUUAGGAGAAAAUAAUUUAUACCUCCCCAAUUUCUUGAAGGCCAAAAUCUGCAUCUGCUGACAAGAUGCCACUAGUUCGUUCCCUCUCCUACUUCCUUCAAAGGAUGUGCUGAUCUUAGAGGAGACAACCCAAUUAGCCACGACCUUGUCCCCUCCUUUAUUUGCUUUGCAAAUCUGGCUCAAUCUAGAGAAGAGGAACCACUAGAUUAGCCAUGGGACAAAGGAGAAUAGGGCAAAGAAGAAAAUAUGGACACUGGAAUCCUCAUACCUGGGGACCUAGAUCCAGCACGACGUCGCUGGGGAACGCUCAGACGAGUACUGGCACGGUUGGCCGGACAAUCGCCGGAGAGGAAUCAGUCGCGCCGCUCGCUGACUGCAGGCCCAUCACGGAACGCCCGUAGGAGGACUGUCACUGCUGGAGGGAAGCAUCAUCUCCUAAUAGGGAUUGGCAUGCCACCAUGGGGAAAGGUACGGGACGGCUCAGCCUCGGCAUGUUUCUGUACCAAGGUACAUAAUUAUUGUGGGGUUCAAUUUGCAAUUUGUACAUACUCCCAUCUCGCAGCACACAUUUCUAAUCCAAGGGCACAUGAUCAAGUUUCCAUGUUUCCAUUGAAUAUACGGUACCGCGGCCCGGCGCAACGAUAACGAUUCACCCCUGCUCAGGAGGGGCCGCGGGCACACAAAAGCAAAGGAAGAUGGGAGGCAUAAGGGAGUACAACGCUACUCAAUACAACAUAAAUUAGUUCUUUAAAAAGUGCUUUCACAUCCCCGUGGGGUCACAUGCAAAAUCUUAAUAGGAAAACAGGGGAAAGGUAGCCUAAGGAGAUGCGUCAUCGCCAUCGCUGCUGUUGCCGUCGUCAUCGUCAGCCCCACGUUCCUCGAUCGUAGGCGGGCCCACGUCGCCGGCAGGGGCAAGCUCCGCGAUCAGGUCGUCCACAUGAUCCGCCACCCAGUCCGGCAGGACGCCCUAGAUCACUCCGGGCACGGGGGCUAUCGCGGCCUCGAAGUCGAAGUCAGGAUUGGAGCGGAGAAGGUGACUCAAGAUGCACGAGAACGCAUGCACAAGAAGGUUGUGGCUCUUCUCCUCGAUGAGCUGGCGCGCCUUCUAGGCCCCACCUUCGAGACGCUCCACGACCCUGGUGAAGAAGACGAGGUAACCACGUCAUCAGUAACAAGCGGGUUGGAGACGUUCUCAUCGCAAAUGUUGCUCAAGGCCCGGUUGGCCCUGUGCCCAUGGGCCUGGAACAUCUGGGAGCGCUCAUGCUACAACAUCUGGGAUCGGCUCGCCUCGUCCGAAGCUUUCUAUAUGAGGGAGGUAACGCCUUCCACCUGCUUGUAAAGGAAGGACAACUCGGCCUCGACCACGGCAUGAGCAUCCACCGCGGCUUUCUCGAGCCGCUCUGUCCCUUCUAGCUUCUCCUUGAGGCCGUCGGCCACGCCCUUCAGCUCGCCACACCGCGUGCAGAAGCGAGCCUCCUGAAGCUCCAGAUUCCGGUGGUAUUCCUCGGCGAGAACCGUGCGGACCCCCGCUACCUUCUCGUCAGCCUUUCUCUGGAUUGUCGCCUCCCGGGAAGCGAGAGCGUCCUCAGCAGCGGCCGCUUGGCACUCCAUCACCUCCAGCGUCAGCGUGUCCUCAAUCAUGUGGAGCCUUGCUUCGCCCGUAGGCGGCCCGCCCGCCGAGGCGGCAAGCGCGGCUUUGCACGCUAGGACCUGUCGCUCAAGGGCGACGUUUGAAGCUUGAAGCUCCCACUCGCGCCUCUCGGCCGCCUCAUGCUGGCAGUCCGCAGCUCGGGCCUCCUCAACGGCGCGAUCGUGAGCCUCGCUCGUCGUGGCAAGGGACUACUUUGCCUCCGCGCGAGCGUGCUCACACUGCAGGUGACUGAAGUUGACGGUGACCUCGAGCUGGCGCCACUCGCGCGCCAGACGCGAGCGCUCUGCCUCAAGGCGUGUGUCAACAUUGCCGAGCUCCACCCCAAGGAGGCUGAGUGCGCUAGCCGCCUCCUGGAGAAGGCCGUGCCGGGCGGUGUUGCGCCCGUGUGCGAGCUGAAUGCCUGGUCGGGGCUUUCCUUCGCGCCCUAGUCAACAUAGGAGGCGCGUGAAGACUCGCCCGUCCCCGACAAGGGCCCAGGGGCUGGAACUCCCACACCCUGUCCUCCGGUCCGAGUUGGGGCCCGACGCAGAUUCACCUCGCUGCUUGAAGAUGGUGUCGUCGCGUGAGCCUUGCCUUCUCGCCUUCAGGUAGAGGCGCAAGAGGUAGAGGGUGACGUUCGCGAAGCCCUGCACGCCCACCAUCAGCAACGUCCUCGUCACCAAGACCCUCAUCAACGGUGGCGCGGGGCUCAAUGUUCUCUCUAUCACGACGUUCGAGACACUCCAAGUGCCAUAUAAUCAGCUCAUGCCAACCGAGCCUUUCUCGGGGGUGACCGACGGCUCCAUCACCCUCCUAGGGCAGAUACGUCUCCCAUUCACCUUCGGCAAGCGCGACAACUACCACACCGAGCUCAUCGAAUUCAACGUCACCCAGAUCGACCUCCCGUGGGUUUCCGGGCCCUCGCCAAGUUCAUGAUAGCAACCCACCACGGCUACAAUGUCCUCAAGAUGCCCGGGAGCAGCGGCAUCAUCAUGGUCACCUGCGAUGAGAAAGAUGCGGCGUGCUCCCUCGAGCGUGCCUACCAGGCUGCGGCGGCCGAAAACUCUGACGACGAAGGCGCUAUCCUACCUCGUGAGGCCACUUCCAAGAAGAAGAAGCAGCUCCUCCCAAGAGCCAUCAGGUUCCUGAGGCACCUGCAGGAGGUGCCUCAAGCCUGCGCCAACUACUGGGGCCCCCCUUCCUCCCACAUAGGAAGGUGCGCCCGAUGCCUCCCCCAGGAUGGGCUCGGGGGCUUCUGCUGGGAGAGCCUCUGACCUGACUAGUGCAACCAGGGAGGUGCUCAGGCACCACUUGGAGGCGUGCUUUGAUGCACAUCCCCACGAGCAAGGCGCACGACACGAGGCACUAGGUGCACGAGAAUUCAUCACCAAGGCAAUUGAGGAGCUGCAGGAGGUGCGAGCCAUGCGUGGCGAGCGUCGCCCCACACCAUCUGGUGCAGUCGCGCCCCCUGUUGUGGAUGACGAGUUAUGCAUCUGCGUCAACAUCCCAGGCCUCAAUAGGGCCGCAUGACAGGGCCUCUUUUGGCCGUCGCACGUCGGCCGGAGUGGGGGCUACCCCUGCAGCUACGUCCAUGUCGUUUGGCCUGAUGAACUUGGGCGCCACGUACCAGCACCUCACGUAGCAUGCUGUGGCAUCUGACGAGGCCAGGCACCAGGCGGUCAUGUCGGAGGAGCUUUCGGACCCUCGCGAGCCCCCUGGGCCUCAUGAGCUUCCCCGGCCUCCAGAGCCACAUGCUCGUGAGGAGCGAUCUUCAUGGCAUGUGUCUUCAGCUACCCCGAGGCUUCUACAACACUGGUGCCAGGUGACUUUUUGGUUUGUUCAGUUGACGGCACCUCCCGGGAUGCAUUAUCCUCAGGCUGUUAGGGCCUACCCCCGUAGCUGCACUAUUUCCAUUCAUGUAAUUUGGACCAGUUAUGCUCGCAUAAGUCGUUGUGGUUGUUAACCUUGCGCCUGACCGUAUAUUUCUUCAGGAGCUACCUCUGCGAGCUUCGUGCAUUUCUAGCUCUCCCCUUGAGAGUCCCACGAGAGGGGGCUACUGGCACGGCGCCCAUGCUCGGGUCCAUCCCUGCAUCACCAAUAAAUCUAAGAGAUUGAGCUCUAGCUCACGGGCCAUCCCCGUGCAUGUCACCUCACCAAGUCCUUAGUGCCUUCGUAUUCUCAUGGAACAAUCACGAGCAGAUCAGCAAGCGCGGCCGCCCAUAUAUUUUACAACUAACUAAUACACAGGAGCCUUCGGAGGCAGGGCCUCGAGCGGCCCACCUCACCGCCCUAAAGGGACGUGCCACGAUCAAGCAGCGUACAUACCGGCUGACAAAAGGCUAAGUGAAAUUGCUUCAUACACCGUGUGCCACGGGUACAACCUCCCCUAAGCACCCCUGCCGGUGAGCAGUUUCUCUCUCGCGCAAAUCGCUUGGACCUUAAAAGGGGGCCCUUGAGCAUCGCACCUCAGGGGCCUGUUGGCUCUUGAGCGCUCACCCCUGGCCUUGCCCAUGGCAUCACGCAGAGGAGAGACUAAGCGCGCUCGGCAGAGGAGAGACUGCUGGAAGUAGUACAAAGCCCCUCCUUAGUAGUAUUUAGGGGAUAUUUUGUUCAGCUCAUCUGACUAUAGAUGUGGUGAAACUGUACAACGUACUUAAAAUUAGCUAGUAUAUAUAGUUGAACUAGCUAUUUCAGUACGUGGUUGGCAAAAAUUGGGGAAAAGUUUGGUCGGUUCAGCUGUAAAGUUGAACUGUUUGUAUAAAUUAAUCACAACUGCUUAAUCUAUGAAUGAAAUCUAUGCUUAAUUACUGAAUUUUAGUUGCAAAAAUUAGAUAGUGCUAGUGAUUUUUAGCUGCAUAUUUUGACAAAUCGCAGUGUUACAAGGAUUGACAAAUGGCAAUGUUACUAGAUCAACAAAUGUCAAUCUUUCUAGUUUGACAAAUGGCAAUAUACCCAAUAUGACUGAUGCAAAUCUUACCAAAUUUUCUGUACGUGGUUGCACAAGGGUCAUUCGAAAAAACCGUUUGCGUUGAAGGGAGUUAAUAAUCCUGCUUGCCAAAAAAAUUCUUGGCUUAGCGCCGAAGUCUCGCUUUGCAUACCUUAUUCAAUCUAAACCGUUUGUGUUGAAGAGAUGCACAAAUCCUGCGCAGUGAAUUUUCCCUUGGCUUACUGCGGAAGACCAUAGCUCUCACUUUGCAUACAUGUGUUUUAUCUAAAAUGUUUGCGAUGAAGAGCUGAACAAAUCCUGCUCGUCACAUUUUCCAUUGGCUUACUGGGGAAGCCGUCAGUGUACAUACGGGUGUUCUAUCUAAAACGUUUGCGAUGUUAGAGUGGCAGCUAGUUGUUUCAAAAUGCCCUUCACUACAAGAAAUAUGUCAACUUAUGACCUUCUAUCAGUGACCUUGGAAGAAUUGGUCAUAGAUUUAUGACCAUUUGAGACCAAUUGGUCAAAAGCUGUUCGAGGGGCUCCAAACCCUAAACCAUUGCGACCAUUUUGGUCAGAAAGGUCAUAAUUUCCUUACAUGAAAUGGUCAUAAAGCUAACAGUGCUAGUCCGCUGCCUUAUUUCUAGUUGUUAACGACCAAUAUAGAUGGUCAUAGCCUUGUAAAUUGUGGUGGGUUGCUAUGACUAGGCGCCACCUCAUCAGUUUUGCCUAUGUGUCAUGUCCAUGUGGCAGUUUUUGCCCUAGGUUGUGAAGCAACCUAUAUUUCUGUCAUUCCAAAAAUUCCCAAAAAAAUCUCAUAAAUUCUUUGGGUCAUAUCUUCAUCAAAUAUGUAAAAAUCUUCCUUGCCUAGUUCAAAAAUAAUUCAAAAUUAUUCAUUUUCCUAUUCUGUUCAGAGGAACAGUUUGUGAAGGAAGUACCACUUUGGCAUGUCCAAAUAGUAUCCAUUUUCUACAGUGCUUUCCUAUGACCAAAUAAAGAUCCUCCACAAAAUGCCAGCUCAAUCCAUUUAUUAUUUUGAGCCGAGCUUCAACAUUCGUAUUUUUGUCCAGUGUGGUGGUUUGCAAAGCAAGUACCACCUAGGCUCCUCCUUUUGAGCUAGAAAUUUGUGAAGACGGUCUUCUUAGUAACUGAUCAUCCUCAGCCAAAACUCACGCCCAUUAGCCAUGUACACUUCCCGUACCGCUAAUCAAACACAUGGCCGCUAAUUCAUGUUUGAGCAUCGAUCGGUCUCCUCGUGAGAAUCUUAUGUUGUAAUUUUGUUCCUAGCACCUACCUGGGGAGUGCUCAACCCACUAGACAUGUCUAGGCUGCCCAGAACACAAGGCAACGCCACGGUCACGUGGUGACCACGCGACGGGCAUGCAAGUUUACGCGCUCUAGAGUUAGGGCCCUCGGCCACCGCCCAAACCUCGACGUAUCACCACCAAACAAUGUAUUUAUGAUUAAAUAGGUACUUAUGUAACUAGAAAUUAUUUUUGGAAAAAAUAAAUAGCAAACUAUGAGGCAGCUGCAGUUCAAAUUUGACCCGCUUCCAACUAAAUCGGCGGGAAUUUGUCUUUUUCACCAGAGGUGGAUCCAAACUUUUGAAACCCAACCAUUUUGUCAAUUGUGCAUUAAAUAUGUCCUAAUAUUUUAUAAAAAUGAUUUGGUACAAUUUUGCAACAAUUAUUUGGUAGGUCCUUCACAAAAAAACCUCAUUUCGGGCACUCGAAAAAUGGAAAAUGAAUUUUCCGUGCAAAGCAAAUGAAAACUCCCUUUGGCAACAUUGUUUGGAAUUCCAAGAUGCACCCUUGUGCACAAUGUGAUAUCAUUUGAACAAACUAUGCCAUGAAUGUGGCCAUAAGGUUGAUCAUUUGGCUUGAAAGCCAUUGAUCUCCACACAUGAUAGCUCGUUUCUGAGAACACUUUUUUAAAAAUAAUUGCCGUAUUACAAGUUUGUUAUUUUUCCUGGGAACUUGGCCACAUAUGAUGACACAAUGCGAAGGUUUCCCAAUUUCUUGAUUUUUUUGAAUUUUUUAUGCCCGUUCCAAAAUGCGGACAAAACGGCGGGAAUGACCGUUCCUAGCUAGUGGUUGAAUCUUGGAAUUUUUUUGGUGUUUCUCUGAUUAAAUAGAUACUUAUGUACCUAGAAAUGAUUUUUGGAAAAAAUAAAUAGCAAACUAUGAGGCAGCUGCAGUUCAAAUUUGACCCGCUUCCACCUGAAUCGGCGGAAAUUUGUCUUUUUCACGAGAGGUGGAUCAAAAAAUUUUACACCCAACCAUUUUGUCAAUUGUGCAUUAAAUAUGGCCUAGUAUUUUAUAAAAAUGAUUUGGUCCAAUUUUGCAACAAUUAUUUGGUAGUUCCUUCACAAAAAAACCUCCUUUCGGGCACUCGAAAAAUGGAAAAUGGUUUUUUCGUCCAACGAAAAUGAAAACUUCCUUAGGCAACAUUGUUUGCUAUUCCAAUAUGCACCCUUGUGCACAAUAUGAGAUCAUUUGAACAAACUAUGCCAUGAAUGUGGCCAUAAGAUUGAUCAUUUGGCUUGAAAGCCAUUGAUCUCCACACGUGAUAGUUCGUUUCUGAGAACACUUUUUUAAAAUAAUUGCCGUAUUACAAGUUUGUUAUUUUUCCUGGGAACUUGGCCACAUAUAAUGACACAAUGCGAAGGUUUCCCAAUUUUUUAAUUUUUUUUUAAUUUUUUAUGCCCGUUUCAAAACGCGGUCAAAACGGCGGGAAUGACCGUUCCUAGCUAGUGGUUGAAUCUUGGAUUUUUUUUGGUGUUUCUCUGAUUAAAUAGAUACUUAUGUACCUAGCAAUGAUUUUUUUUAAAUAAAGAGGAAACUACGAGGUAGCUGCAGUUCAAAUUUGACCCGCUUCCUACUGAAUCGACGAAAUUUGUCUUUUUCAUGAGAGGUGGAUAAAAGCUUUUGACACCCAACCAUUUGGUCAAUUGUGCAUUAAAUAUGGCCUAAUAUUUUAGAAAAAUGAUUUGGUCCAAUUUUGCAACAAUUAUUUGGUAGUUCGUUCACAAAAAAACCCAUUUUGAGCACUCAAAAAAUGAUUAAAAAUAGCUAGAAAUAUGAAAAAUGCAUACAAAUUGGUCCUAAUCCAUAAAAUGUGGUCUAACUCUAGUGAAAAUUUGUGUGGUGCCCUUUUGCAAAAUAUUUUUGAUAGCUACUUCAUAAAAUCUUCUAUUUUUAGUACUUAAAAACUAUUCUACAUCACUGAUUUUCUGAACCAAUCAUAACUCUGUCCACGGAUCGAUGACAUGGCGUCCAUCCAUCCAUCCAUCCAUCUCUCCAUCCCACAUCCAUCCAUCCAUCUAUCUACAGAAAAGAAAAAAAAGAAAAGAAAAAGAGAUACCCACCACCCGAAGCCCAAACCCUAGCUCAGAUCGACCCCUCCCCCCGUCGCCCCCUUCCUCCCUCGUCCCCAUCUCCUAGCCGCCGCCCCCUUCCCGAUCUAGAUUCCUCCUCCACCGCCCCUCCCUUCCACCACCUAGUCGCCCCCUCAGCAGAUCAAGCGAGCCGCCCAACCUCACCGGCCUCCUCCUUCUCUUCUGGUCAGAUCCGACGGGCACAUCUUCCUGCAGCCACGAGCGACCACCCCGGCCUCCACUCCACCGUUGGCAUCCUUUCCCUCCCUCUCCGUAGAUCCUUUUGGGAAGCCACCUCGAGGGUGUCGCCGCCACCAGCGGGAGGGGGAGGGCGCCGCCACCAGCGGGAGGGGGAGGGCGCUGCCAUCAGCCGCGGCGGAGAGGUGGAGCCCCGGCACCCCCGACGGCUUUGCCGUCCCCAGGAGCCACUUCACCCCGCGCCUGAGCGCCAGCUGCUGCUCCUAUCGCGUCACCACGCGGGUGAACAGCGGCGGAUUCCCCGUACGUGAGGGCGAAGCAGGCGCAGGUAACACGACCGACCACCACCGCUACCAUCAGGCGCGAUCCCUUUCGCUUAUCUGCUGAGGAUGGAUGGAUGGAUGGAUGCAGGUUUGUGUGGGAUGAGGGAAAGUACCCAGGUCGCCAAGAUCGAGGAUGACAUGAAGGUAACUAACUCUGCUUCUCUCUCUAUUCAUUAGCCCACUUCUUCUUCAUACUGACCAAAUCACGCAUGGAUGCCAAUGAGAUUUUGGAACAUUGGCAGCAACUUAACACUGCAUUAGCUAGGCUAGUUGGGUACUGUAUUUUGGACAGUGUUGAUCUUGCCUACCAAGUGCAGUCUUAGUUUUAUACAUACCUUCAUUUUAUUUUGUGCUCAUAGAUGCAAAUAAGUGUUUUGGUUGGAUGUUACAUUUACAGAAGGACUGAAUAUGCCCUUUUGUCUAGUAGACCCAACACCACCUGAGGAUCAAAUUCACUGUUAGAAAGUUAGAAAUUGAUAUUACAGGUUCCUUAUAGUGCAAACCAAAGCAGCUACUCCAACAACCAUCAAAUGAAACCAUGUUUUUUAAAAUUAAAGGGUCUGAUUGAUAUUGGUCCUUCUUUUGACAGAUAUAAUAUGUAUACUCUAUUCUCUUACAACUAAUAACAUUUUAAAACUUCUUUUGGUCGUGCUUUCGCUUUCACUACAGACCAGAUCAGUGGUGAAUGAAAGAAACAAGUGCACAACUAGUAUCAGUGGGCUUGUAUUUUUCUUGUGUAGCUGCUCUGCACUUGUUGUACAGCAAGUUGAUCACUAUCUACCCUGCUGGGAAUUUUCACUUUAUAUAAAAUUUUGAGAGGCAAAUGCUGGCUAGGAACUCAACUCUGCUUCUUGUUGUUGGAGUUUUAGGCUUGUUGCAUAGUUCGUAGCUUCAAGUGUACUCUGGCUUCUAGCCACAGUGCACUACAAAUUAUUAUAGAAUUACAAAGUGUACACAACAUUGCACCUUACACAUUCUUCUCUUGUGAAAUCAAAUGCCAUGACUGGGCAUUCUUUUAUCAACUUGUUGUACAUUUGCUCUGCUUUAGGCUACUGUAUAACUUGUGCCUUUUAACUUGAUGUACAUAGCAUGCAAUUUUUUACUGUAUCACAUUCACACAUGAUACUCUUAAUAUAGAGUUGUUUUCCGAGCUAGUUCUGUUUACUCUUAAUAUAGGUCUAUUUGUCACCUAUACUUGCCUGCUAUGCUAUAGUAGACCUUGUUCAUAUUUAUUAGCUAAGUUUGCUUGUCCUUGGUAUCUAUAUGCAUGCCAUUUGUGUUUCAGGCUUUCUCUAAAAUGAAACAAUAGGCCUAUUAGUCACCAAUACUUGAGUUAAUCUAACUCCUUACCUACUAUGCUAUAGUAGGCCUUGUUCAUAUUUAUUAGCGAAGUUUACUUGUCCACAGUGAUCCAUAUACAUGCCAUUUGUGUUUAACGUUCUCUGAAAUGAAAUAAUAAGAUUCACACUCCAUGGACCAGGACGACCACCGGGACCUCCACGGCGAUGAUGAAGCCUGCACAUGGUCGAGCUCGAUGGAACAACAGUGCCUCAGUGUGGUGCAGCCGAGUUGGGCCACUCCGGUGCAUCAGGAACUCUGCAUGCUGCUGUCCUUUGUCUCAUCAUCUUAACUUCUGUUGUCCUUUGUCUCAUCAUCUUAACUACUACAGUAGUAGGAGUAUUUUAUAUGCUGUUCAUUUCUUGGCCGCCCAGCAUGUUUGCUAGUCAUCCAUCUGCCUCAUGUUAUAUGAUCCCUACCUAGUAACUUCAUUGUAUGCAGACUUGUGGUGUUGGUUCAAUUUAGUCAAAUUAAUAUAUAUACUGCUAUGCCACAACUACUACUACUGUCUGCAUUUAAUCCUGAUUAGUAGCUUCAUCCAUAAGUGGCAAACAAAAAAAAUGUUGAUUUUCAUCUUAUCUCUGUGACAACCAAUGGAGUUGAAUUGCAGCAUGCAUGUCAAAGCUGGGUUCAAUUCUUGGGCAAUAUAUGGUAGUUUCCACUCUUCAUGCCCAAGAUUAGUAUGCUGCAGCUCUCCCUCCUCACUCCAUACAUCCAGGUACUAGUUACCCAGCGAGCAGCCCUGCACCUCGCUGGAUCUCGCCCAAACCCCGCUCAUCUUACUGCUUGUGGCAGGGAAUACUCUCUGUUGAGUAUUUUGAGGAAUGAAUAUCUGUUAAAUAUGGAGUUAGGAUCAUCUAAUAAAAUUUCUACUAUAUAUAAUAUAUAUGCAUGAAACUGAGAUUGCUAGCAUCAUUUACACAAGAUACACCCUUUGAAUUGAAUUGAUUGGUUCAGUUUCGUAUAUUCUUCACCCAGCCUUCUAUCAUGCUUAUAACUAGUGCUCUGCUCAUGUUGUUAGAGAGGAUUUUCACUUCCUGCCAUCCCAACCUUCUAUCAUGCUUACAAGAUUUUUCUUUGCACGGCAGUAGCACCAGUACCUUGCUGCUGUUGGGAACGGAAGGGAGCUGUUCCAUGCAUUGAAUCUGGGGAGAAAAUCACCUUCGGCAUGUACAGCAUCACCGUGGGCAUGCUUGUGCCGCUGCUGCUCGGCCCCAACAUGUCCUGGAGUGCCAUUAGUGCCGCCCUCACGCUCAUCUUCCUCGACUUCAAGGACGCUCGCCCCUGCCUCGAGAAGGUAAUUGUGUGUCCAUCCGUCUGUAGUUAACUAAGUUGUGCCCCAUUGAUGUCCUACUAAUGUUCAUUGUUACUACCAUGGUGCUGAUGCUGUUCAGAAUAUGAUAUGUGCCUUAAUUCUAAGUUCUGGUCUCUCUUAAGAGACAUUUCUAGCUUUUCUGACUCAAAGUUGUUAACUUGGUACUGCAUGAGUUUUACUACUGCUAACACAGAGAGUAUUUACUAGUGCCAACACAGAGACUUUGUAUGCAUGCUACCUGAUGAGUGCUUUCUUUGUAAUAUUUCACCUUCGUAUGCAUAGGUUUAUUCGGUUUGAAUUCUGCAUGACAUGAAAUAGAUAUUUACAGUGUUUUUCUCAACUUGUUUUCACUGUCACUUGAUAUAUAUUUGCUUGUACUUGAAGCUGUGGGUUAAUGUUGGUGGUUUUGUUCUACUUGGAUGCAUUGGUACCCAUCAUCGAGCGAACGGAUGCAACAGCGGCAACAAGCUCAUGGCUGUGUGCAUCUAAAGCACACCAUGGACACCAUCCACUUCCUCAUAAAUGCUAACUCAAUCCAGAUCAUCGUCGACACUAUCAUCCACGGGUAUCUUCCUUGAUUCCCUUUAUUCUCUCCUGCCUUUGUGAAGUUUAGUAUGCGUGUGCUGACGAGUAUUGUUAGAUCUUGCCAGUUGAAUGUAUGGUCGUGUUAGUAGAAUGGUAUUUUGUUUUAGGCACAAUGUGUUGUAGUGCAGUUUUUUUGCACAACCUGCAUAUGUGCCAUGCAUAUUCAUAUUGUUUCUCUGUUUCUUAUAUGAACUACUAUCUCAUUUUAACUAGCUCGACAACAAAAAGCAUGGUACUAGCUGAAUGUUGAAUGGUCUGUUCUUGAAUGGUCUGUUCAUAAUAUAUUUGCCCCAGUUUUUCUCAUUCUUUUCUGAUUCAUGUAACAGGCUGACAGAGGAAGCCAUGUUGCUAUUUUGUUUGGUCUCAGCCCUGACUAUCGCCGUCGAGCGAGUCCGGCGUGUUGUUCUUCUGACUAUGGUUCCAGCCCUGACUACCGAAGUUUUUAUCCUGUUGAAGUUGCAUAGAAAUAUGAGAGAGUCCAGCGAGUCCAGGAGCUUGUGAAGUAGUACUAUAUUACACUUGUAGAGCUUGUAAAGUAUUGUAUUAUACAUGGCCCUUUGUACUGGCAUGGAUAGAGCUUGUAAAGUAUUGUAUUAUGUGAUCUGGUUGCUCUUGUUUAAGUAUUAUGUGUGUUUUUUGUCUCUGCGAAUCUGAAUACUACUUGAAAUAUGAAGAAUAUGAGUCUGAUAGAUGAGACCCACUUACCUGACAAAUUGAAACCUGUUACCAGAACCUGACAACUAGGACCCAUCUGACUAGUGGACCCAUUUAAUAAAAAAGAAAUGAAAUUGUUUAGCCAAAAUGGCCGCGGCCCAACAAUAAAAAAGGCUGCCAUAUUGGGCUUGGCCCAUGAUCCUGACCAAAAUUGAUGAAAAAAAACACAAAUAGGCUGAAUUGUUGGGCUCGGCCCAUGUAGAAAAUCGAAUUGGACCGGGCUGAAUCUUGUGCCACAUCAGCUUGCCACGCUGGAUGCCUACAUGGCCUGGGGGAGGUUGCUAGUGACCAAAACGCCACAGUAGGAAUAUUUUGGUCGUAAACAUCUUUGACCAUUCCAGAAGAAAGGUCGCUAUAGUCAGUUUACGACGCCUAGCUUUUGACCUUCUGUUUUUGGUCACAAAAAGGUCAUAAAUGGAAAUUUGUGACCUUUCAGUGACCAAUAGUGGUGGUCAUAAGUUGACAUAUUUCUUGUAGUGUUUGUUGACUAUUAUUCGAGUGAGCCUUCUCCCAAAAUGGACACGAAAAUUAACACAGCAUGUCGGGUGCCAUUCCAUGAUAGCAUGCCAAGUUUCAUGAAUUUCAGACGAGUUUUGGAUUUACUAGAAUUUAAAAACAAAGUAUCUCAUCAUUUUGCCGGCAGUAAAUAGUGAUGGUGUUUCAAAUUCAUUCCCAUUUCUUGCAUGGGACCUAAGCAUGCACCCAAGGACACAGAUUUGAUUUUCAACCAAUUUAUAUGCACUCGAGCUUGUGCAUGUAGUUCAAAUUUGAAUUAUGCACAUAAAAUGCCUAGAAACCCCAGUUAAUAUAUAAAAAUGUCCAAACAAACCCCAAAAAUUUCCAAAAUUGAACACAACACUCCUGUUGUUCUAUGUUGACAUUAGAAAUUUUUUGAAAGCACUAACAGGCAACGGGUAUCAUUUUAUCCCUAAAGGUGGCACGUUCCCUACUGAAACCAUCAGCUUGUUGUGAGAAGCUCUGGUUUGUGAGAAGCUUAUACCCAAACCCACCCCAAAUGAUACAAAAAAAUUACCAUGGCAUGUCGGAUGCCAUUCCAUGAUAGCAUGCCAGGUUUCAAAAAUUUCAGACGAGUUUUGGAUUUACUAGAAUUUAAAAACAAGGUAUCUCAAUGUUUGCGGCCGAGUGACGGUGGCAGGGUGUUUGACAUUCAUUCCUAUUUCUUGCAUGGGAUCUAAGCAUGCAACCAAGGACACAUAUUUGAAUUUUUAACCAAUCUAUAUGCAUUAGAGCAUGUGCAUGUAGUUUAAAUUUGAAUUAUGCACAUAAAUGCAUUGAAAACUCAAUUAACGCAUAAGAAGUGUGCUAACGAACCCCAAAAAUUCCAAUAUUUAACACAACACUCAUGUUGUUCUAUGUUGACACUAGAGAAAAAAUUUAAAUCAAGAAAAGGCAACGGCUAUCGUUUCGUCUAGAAAGGUGAAACAUUCCCUACUGAAACCAUUAGGUUUGUUGUGAGAAGCUCUGGUUUGUGAGAAGCUUAUACCCAAACCUGCCCCAAAUGGGACAAAAAAUUUACGACGGCUUGUUGAUGCCGCUCCAUGAUAGCAUGCUAUGUUUCAUGAAUUACAGACGAGUUUUGGAUUUACUAGAAUUUAAAAAUCAGGUAUCUCAAUGUUUGUGGCCGAGUGACGGCGGCAGGGUGCUUGACAUUCAUUCUCAUUUCUUGCAUGGGACCUAAGCAUGCAACCAAGGAGACAGAUUUGAAUUUUCAACCAAUUUAUAUCCAUUAGAACAUGUGCAUGUAGUUCGAAUUUGAAUUAUGCACAUAAAUGCAUUGAAAGGUCAAUUAAUGCAUAAAAAUGUCCUAACGAACCCCCAAAAAUUUCAAAAUUUAACACAACACUCCUGUUGUUCUAUAUGUUGACACUAGAGAAAAAAUUGAAAUCAAGAAGAGGCAACGGAUAUCGUUUCGUCCAGAAAGGUGAAACGUUCGCUACCGUAACCAUGAGGCUUGUUGCAGAAGCUCUGGUUUGUGAGAAGCUUAUACCCCAAACUGCCCCAAAUGGGACAAUAUUUUUACCACUGCAUGUUGCUACCGUUACAUGAUGGCAUGUCAAGUUUCAUGAAUUUCAGAUGAUUUUCCCAUUUACUAGAAUUUUAAAACCAUGUAUCUCAAUGUUAGCAGCCGAGCGACGAUGGCAAAAGGUGUUUGACAUUCAUUCCCAUUUCUUGCAUGGGACCUAAUGUUGCAACCAAGGACACACAUUUGAUUUUUCAACCCGUUUAUAUGCAUUGGAGCAUGUGCAUGUAGUUCAAAUUUGAAUUAUCCACAUGAAUGCAUAGAAAACUUGGUUAAUGUAUAAAAAUGUCCAUGCAAACCCCAAAAAAUCUCAAAAAUUGCAAACACUCAUGUUGUUCUAUGUUGACACGAGAACUUUUUUUGAAAGUAAGAAGAUGCAACAAAUAUCGUUUCGUCCCAAGGUGGCACGUUCCCUACCGAAACCAUCAUGCUUGUUGUAAGAGAAGCUCUGGUUUUCGAGAAGAUUAUACCAUAAUCUGGCCCAAAUGGGACAAUAUUUUUUACCCCAGCAUAUUGAUGUUGUUCCAUGAUAGCAUGCCAAGGUUCAUGAAUUUCAGACGAGUUUUGUAUUUACUAGAAUUACAAAAAAAGCACCUCAACGUUUGCCGGAGAGCCACGAUGCUGUGGUUUUGCAUAUCACUAGAACAAUUGACAUUAAUAGAAUUUACAAUAACAUCAUUGCAAUCAUCCUUUUCAUUCAAGGAGCAAUCAUGAAUCACUUUAUAAAUUUCUUCGUUUAACACUUCAUCACAAUUUUCAGAUUCAAGAAUCUCAAGCAAAACUUCAUAAAGAUAAUCUAGUGAACUCAAUUCAUUAUCAACUGAUUCAUCAUAAUUGGAUCUUUUGAAAAGAUUAGCAAGUGGAUGAGGAUCCAUAUCAAUAGGUUUUUAGCAAGCAAAGAUGCAAGCAAGUAGAAGACACAUGGCAACAUAAGCAAAGAGACAAACAAGAGAUCUGACUAGAAAAAGGCAAAUGGAAAAGAAGGCUACUAAAAAGGAAAAUAUUUGUGAAGUAGGGGAGAUGAAAAUGAGAGGCAAAUGGAAAAUAAUGUAAAUUGCAAUGAGAUGAGAUUUGUGAUUAGGAACCUGAUCGAUGUUGAUGAUGUCUCCCCGGCAAUGGCACCCGAAAUUCCUUCUGAUGUCGCUUGAACUACGUCGGUAUUUCCCCAAAGAGGAAGGGGUGAUGCAGCACAGCUAGAGUAGGUAUUUCCAUCAGUGAUGAGACCAAGGUUAUCGAACCAGUAGGAGAACCAAGCAACACUAUGUAAACGGUACCUGCACACAAAGAACAAAUACUUGCAACCCGACGCGUAAGAGGGGUUGUCAAUCCCUCCCGGAUAAAAGAUAGAUUUGUUUUGUAGUAGAUUGGAUAAAUAGAUCUUGCAAUAAAGCAAAAUAAAAUAAAUAAAGGAAAAGUGCAGUAAGGUAUUUUUGAGUUUUUGGGAUAACAGAUAUGAAAAUAAAGGUGAAUAAAAAAUAGAUCUCGAAGGCAAAUAUGAUAAAGAAUAAACCCGAGGGCCGUAGAUUUCACUAGUGGCUUCUGUGAAAAAAAUAGCAUAUGGUGGGUAGACAAAGUACUGUUGGGCAAUUGGUAGAACUUCAAAUAAUUAUGACGAUAUCCAGGCAAUGAUCAUUAUAUAGGCACCACGUCCAAGAUUAGUAGACCGACUCCUGCCUCCAUCUACUACCAUUACUCUACACAUCAACCGCUAUCCAGCAUGCAUCUAGUGUAUUAAGUUCAUGGAGAAACAGACUAAUGCAAUAAGAACAAUGACAUGAUGUAGACAAGAUCUAUUCAUGUAGGAAUAGACACCAUCUUGUUAUCCUUAAUAGCAAUGAUACAUACAUGUCAUGUCCCCUUCUGUCACUGGAACUGAGCACCGUAAGAUCGAACCCAUCAGAAAGCACCUCUUCCCAUGGCAAGAAAAAUCGAUCUAGUUGGCCUAACUAAACCAAAGAUUCGAAGAAGAAAUACGAGGAUAUAAGUAAUCAUGCAUAUAAGAGAUCAAAAGAAGACUCAAAUAACUUUCAUGGAUAAAAUAGAUCUGAUCAUAAACUGAAAGUUCAUCGGAUCCCAACCAACACACCACAAAAAGAGUUACAUCAAAUAGUUCUCCAAGAGACCAUUGUAUUGAGAAUCAAAAGAGAGAGAGAGGAAGCCAUAUAGCUACUAACUAUGGACCUGAAGGUCUACGAUGAGCUACUCAUGCAUCAUCCAAGAGGCACCAAUGAUGAUGAUGAACCCCUCCGUGAUGUCUUGAUUGGAUCUGGCGUUUUUGGAACUUGCGGCGGCUGGAAUUGUGUUUCGUCGACUCUCCUAGGGUUUUUGGAUUUUGGGGGUAUUUAUAGAACAAAGAGGCAGUGUGGGAGGCGGCCGAGGUGGGCACAAUCCACCAGGGUGCGCCUGGGCCCCCAGGUGCGCCUAGGUGGGUUGUGCUCCCCUCGGAGCCCCCUCUAGUACUUGUUUGGCCCAACAGUUGUCUUCUGGUCCAGAAAAAAUCUCCAAAAAGUUUUGCUGUGAUUUUCUGCGAAGUAAAAAACAAGCAAAAACAGCAACUGGCAUUGGGCACUAUGUCAAUAGGUUAGUCCCAAAAAAUGAUUGUAAAACAUCCAAAAUUGAUAAUAUAACAACAUGAAAUAAUAAAAAAUUAUAGAUACGUUGGAGGCGUAUCACUCUUUCGGACUAAAUGUAAAUAAACCGUAAUUAACCGAUCUAAAUAAAAAAACCUAACUGUUCACGGGAUCUAAUCUAAGACGUUAUAUUGAAAUCGAACGGAGGAGGCGGCGGCGGCUUAUAGUGACGGGCCAUGGCGACGCGGGUGGCUCGGGCGACGGUGGCGGGGCUUCUCCGGCGGUCGGCGGCGGUGGCAGAGGUGUCAGGGAGAUGCAGCUCGGCGGGGGCGUCACAGGGAUGGGGUCGGUGAUGGACGAGGUCAACGGACGGCGUCGAGGCAAGGUAGUAGAGGCUCGGGUGGUUGGUGCGCUCUGGCGAGAGCUUGGCGACAUCGAAGCGCGGUUGUGGUCGCUCAUGUGCAUCACGAAGAUGUCAAACAGGACCGAAAGAAACUGGGCCGAUGGCCGAAGGUUGAGGGGCGGAGAGGGCUCACCUGCGUUGGAGACAGCGACGAACAACGGCGGCGGUCGUGAGAUUGGGACAGAGAGGGUGAGCGAGGUGUUGGGUUUUUCGACAUGGCGUUUAGGGGGUUCAGUCGAGGUGGUUGAGGGGUAUUUAUAGGACAAAGACUUGGAGGAGGAGGUGCGCUCCGGUGUGUGCGGGAUACAGGCGGUUGUUACGGGAGAACAGAGACGACGUGGGCCCUGUCGGUCAGCGGGCGUCGGAAUGGCGGUGGUGUUCAGGCGGCCGGUCUGUAGUGGACUCGAGCGCAGGGGCACGCCGCUGCGUAGGUGGCUGGGCCGCGUGGCUGUUGGGCUGGCCAGCCUGGCGCCUGGCUGGCGCCGGCUGCGUUUUUUUUUAUUUUGACAAAAAAUAAAAUACGAAUAGAGAAAAAAUAAAAAAAAUAAUUUUAUAUAGACAAUAUACAUAUCAAAAUUCUUAGAAAAAUAAAUCCUAAAUGGUGAACUAUUUUUCAGAGGCAAAAUCCAAACUUUAUAAAAAUAUUUUUUUUGAAAAUUCCAAAUAAAACCCAAUUUGAAUUCAAAUAAUUUUGGCAUUAUUUUCUUCUAACUUUUUGAGGCGUCAUGUUACCUCCUCUCAUAUUUUUUGAUUAAAGUAUUUGUCAAAAAAUUUUGAAAUGAAUUUUGAAUGCCAGUUUGAAGUGAAUUUUAAUUCAAAUAGAAAAUAUUCAAAUGCCUUUGUGUUUUUUCAAAUUCCACCACAAUCAAACAAAAUGCAAUAGAUGCUUAGCUAAAAUUGCCGAACAUUCCAAAUUGAAAAUUUGGGAUGUUACAAAAGAAAACUGGGGUGGGGCUUUGUGGCAGUCUGAUCCGCCGCCACGUAGGACUCUGACACCCCCGGCUGACUCAAGUCCUCCCUCCUGGUCUCACCUCUUCCACUCCGCUUCUGCUUCCCCUUUAUUUGCAUCCACACCCUCCUAGUCUGAAUCCGCCCCUGUACCUCUCCUACCACCGCCCAAGCAUUGUCGGAUGUCAGCAACACCCAUCCACAUGAUCGCUUGCCUUGUACUACGGUGUCAUCCAAUGAGGAUCCGUCCGCAGCCAGGUAUCCUCCGACCGCCUGUCAACGCCGUCCAUGGUGUGUACUGUAAGUGCAUCUAGUGCCACCCCUAGUUGGUUUUGGAGUAUUGACGACAAAGUUGGUUGAGGGACUAAUGCGUUUGUGAGAAUUGCAGGAUAACGCAGGAAGUGUCCCUCAUUGAUUCGGUUUACCUACCGGAGAUGACCCCUAAAAAUGUAUGAAGACAUUGAAGACAAUGGUGGUGUGUGAAGAUAUUCACACUGAAGACUAUGACAUGAGAAGACAUUGAGUGAAGACUAUGGAGCGCGAAGACUGAGUUGUUUUGUUGUUUCCUUUUCUUCUUUGUUGAGUCAUAGGAAUCACCAUACUGUUAAGUGGGGUCCAAGUGAACAUAGUCAGAGUGACUGAAGUGAUGCUCAACCCAAAUCCUAUAUCUUCGAGCGAAGACAAUGAGAGCAAAUCUUAUCCAGAGCUGGAUGAGUCAGAUUUGCUUCUAGCCCAAGUAAAGUUGCCGUGUGUGUUUGAAAUCUGACCGUUGGAACACGUGUCAGUUCCUUAGUGACCCAGGGUCAUUUCGGACAUAUCAGGUCGGGUUGCCUUGUGGCUAUAAAUAGCCCACCCCCUACACCAUAAAUUGGUGGCUGCUCAGAGUUAGUUUACGAAUUUUGUCGUUUUGAGAGCAACCCACCUUGAAGCCUUUGAGAGAGAAAUCCUUGCGAGGACAUAGCCCAAACACCCAGAGCCAAAGAGUGUUAGGCAUCACUGAAGUCUUUUUGUCUGUGUGACCUGAAGACUUAUUACACUUGAGGACUGUGUAUCCUCCAGCCGGUUAGGAGUCGCGUUCUGAGCAUCCAAGAGUCAUUGUGGAUUGCCGGUGAACAAAGUCUGUGAAGGUUCGGAAGUCUACCUUGAAGACUUACCAGAGUGAUUGGGCGAGGACUGUGUGUCCUUAGCUCAAGGGGAAUAAGGUGAAGACGCGGUCUUCUGAGUUGAAUCUCAGCCUCCCUAACCAGACAUACAGUUGUCACAGCAACUGGAACUGGUCCAACAAAUCAUGUGUCUUCAACAAGUGACUGGUUCUAUCCCUUCCCUCCUUUACUUUGAGUUUGUCUUCGUGAAGUCAUUGCUUAAUUGCCUUAUCUGUUUGACUUCAUUGCUUGACUACUUUCGUUGAUUGGCUUCGUACUAUCUUCCAUCCUGAUCCUUACUACCUAGCUGCUAUUAGUCUUUGUACAUUCACAUUAUUGCAUACUUGACUAUGGUUUGCUUGUUGUAGUUUAUCUUCCGCUGCAUAUCAAUUAGGUCAUUUCUAUUGUUUGUCUUCGAAACUUCCAUGUUUUGAAGACUUAGAUAAAAAUCGCCUAUUCACCCCCCUCUAGUCGUUAACUAGCACUUUCAAUUGGUAUCAGAGCAAGGUACUCCCUUGUUCUGUGUGAUUCGGUUUAACCACCUGGAGUUUAGCUAUGUCGACUGCAGGGAUAAUCAAAGUCUCCGCUGCUUGCCCCGUGUUCGAUGGAACUGAAUAUCCCUACUGGAAGAAUAAGAUGCGCAUGCAUCUUGAAGCCAUUGAUGUCGAACUCUGGUAUGUCGUCAAGAACGGCGUUCCAAAAACUGGUGAAGGUGUCACCCCUGCUGAUGUCAAGAAGUUUAUUCAACUGGACUCAACUGCAAAGAACAUUGAGGGAGUCCUGGAUUAGGGGGUGUCCGGAUAGCCGGACUACCAUCAUCAGCCGAACUAUCAUCGGCCGGACUAUCAUCAUCGACCGGACUCCAAGACUAUGAAGAUACAAGAUUGAAGACUUCGUCCCAUGUCCGGAUGGGACUUUCCUUGGCGUGGAAGGCAAGCUUGGCGAUACGGAUACGUAGAUCUCCUACCAUUUUAACCGACUCUAUGUAACCCUAGCCCUCUCCGGUGUCUAUAUAAACCGGAUGGCUCUAGUCCGUAGGACACAACAACAACCAUUACAAUCAUACCAUAGGCUAGCUUCUAGGGUUUAGCCUCCUUGAUCUUGUGGUAGAUCCACUCUUGUAAACAUCCACAAUAUCAAUAUUAAUCAAGCAGGACGUAGGGUUUUACCUCCAUCAAGAGGGCCCGAACCUGGGUAAAACAUUGUGUCCCUUGUCUCCUGUUACCAUCCGCCUAGACGCACAGUUCGGGACCCCCUACCCGAGAUCCGCCGGUUUUGACACCGACAUUGGUGCUUUCAUUGAGAGUUCCUCUGUGUCGUCACCGAUAGGCUUGAUGGCCUCUUCAAUCGACAACGACGCAGUCCUGGGUGAGACUUUUCUCCCCGGACAAAUCUUCGUAUUCGGCGGCUUCGCACUGCAGGCCAACUCACUUGGCCAUCUGGAGCAGAUCGAAAGCUACGCCCCUGGCCGCCAGGUCAGGUUGUCAGAUCAGGUUUGGAAGCCUAAACUUCACGGCCGAUAUCCGCGGGGACUUGAUCUUCGAUGGAUCUGAGCCACAGCCGAGCGUGUCGCGCUGUCACGAUGGGCAUGACCUAACUUUGCCAUCGGACAGCACCUUGGAGGCCGCACACGAAUCCGCUCCGACCCAUAGUCCGGAGCCGAUCGCUUAGAUCGAGGACGGAUGGCUGGACACCGCCUCGGAGGCUGCAACUUCUACGGCGAUGGAGCCGAACACUUAUCUUGUCCUGCAUAAAGCCCAUGACUCCGAGGUGUCGGACCCCCUGCCGGACUCCGAACCUCCUGCGCCCCUGCUAGUCGAAUCCGAUUGGGUGCCGAUCAUGGAAUUCACCGCUGCGGACAGCUUUCAGCACUCACCCUUCGGCGAUAUCUUAAAUUCGCUGAAGCGUCUCUCACUAUCCGGAGAGCCCUGGCCGAACUACGGCCAGGAUGGUCGGGACGCGGACAAUGAAGAAAUUCAGAGCCCACCCACCACCCACUUCGUAGCCACAGUCGACGAUCUAACCGACGUGCUAAACUACGACUCUGAAGACAUCAACGGUACAGACGACGAUGCCGGAGACGAUCAAGAACCAGCGCCUACAGGGCACUUGAAGGCCACUUCGUCACAUGACAUACAUAUGGUGGACACCCCAAGGGUAAGAGAUACCGAGGAACAACGGACGCGGCAGAGGAUAAUCCCGCCAAUAAACAACCAAAACGGCGACGUAGACGCCGCCUAAGUCCCGCCUCGAUCAAAGCAACAUUCCUAACGACCCAGCGAUAGAGCAGGGCAAACCAGCGGACGACGAACAUACAACCAAGCAACCAUCCGAACAGGACGAACCGGAUAAUCAACCCCUUCACGGAGCAAUCAACAGUCCGGACACACCACCGGAGCAUAAGAACCUUCACAAAAGACUCGUGGCCACUGCAAGAAGUUUGAAGAAGGAAAAAAGGAAGCUCAAAACAGCGGAAGACAUACUCAGAAUGAAGUGGAGCAAAAUACUCAAGACCGCAGACAAAUAUGGCAAUGGCCAUCAAACAAAGAGCUACCCGAAGCGCAAGCUGCUGCCAGAAUUUGACGAGGAAGCCAUAGAGCCCUCACAGUCAAAAAAUAAAGAGGCCGCCUGGCCGGAUAGACAGCCAGAUGACAGGCCAAAAGCGACAAGCGGCACCGCACACAAGCCGACUUAUGAUCCUGGGAAAACGGACGGCCCAACUAGGUCCAUCUACCGGCAAAAAAGGAGGGCCCCAGGAAGUAACACAACACGACAAGUGUUCGAAGAUAGCGGCACACCCAAAUACAGGGGCGCCGCACACCCGCUAUGUUUUACCGAUGAGGUGCUGGAUCAUGAAUUUCCAGCAGGGUUCAACCCAUAAACAUAGAGGCAUACGACGGCACAACAGACCCAGGAGUCUGGAUAGAAGAUUACAUACUACACGUACACAUGGCUAGAGGAGAUGAUCUCCACGCCAUAAAAUACCUACCCCUCAAGCUCAAAGGACCAGCUCGGCAUUGGCUCAAAAGCCUCCCAGAAAACACUGUUGGAAGUUGGGAAGAGCUUGAGGACGCGUUUAGAGCAAAUUUUCAAGGGACUUAUGUCCGCCCUCCGGAUGCAGACGAUCUGAGUCAUAUAACCCAACAGCCCGGAGAGUUAGCGCGCAAAUUCUGGAACAGGUUCCUUACCAAAAAGAACCAAAUAGUCGACUGUUUGGACGCGGAAGCCUUAGCAGCUUUUAAACACAACGUCCGAGACGAAUGGCUCGCCAGACACGUCGGCCAAGAGAAGCCAAGAACAAUGGCCACGCUAACAAGCCUCAUGACGCGCUUUUGCGCAGGAGAAGACAGCUGGCUAGCAAGAUGCAGCACCAGCGACCCGAGUACAUCCGAGAUCAGAGAUGGAAAUGGAAAAUCACGGCGCAGGAAAGAUCAGCGCCGGAAUAAAGAAAAAAGCCCAAAGGGCACGGUGGUCAACGCCGGAUUCAAAAGCUCGCGGCCAAACAAUAAAACACUGCCUCUUAAGGACAACAGCGACGAGCUAUCAAAUUUAAACAAAAUUUUAGAUCGGAUAUGUCAAAUCCACAGUACCUCCGGAAGGCCUGCAAACCAUACCAACCGAAAUUGUUGGGUUUUAAACAGUCCGGCAGACUCAACGCCGGACACAAGGGGCUCGAUGCGCCAAGCGAGGACGAUGACGAACCCCACCAGCGGAGCACCGGAGGUCAAAAGACUUUCCCAAAGGAAGUCAAAAUAGUAAACUCACUUCAUGUGAUAGUACGGAAAACCAACACGGCACUUGCUAUGACAAGUGUCUCACGGUCCACCCCAGCGGAACACCGAGAUUGGAUGUCAAAACCAAUCACUUUCGACCAUCUGGAUUAGUCCAGAAGUAUCCGGAACGCAGGAUAGACUGCCCUGAUAUUGGAUCCCAUAAUAGACGGACUGCAAUUCACGCAGGUUUUGAUGGACGGCGGCAGUGACUUAAACCUGCUAUAUCCGGACACAAUCCGCAAGUUGGGAUAGACCCUACUACAAUUCGGCAUAGCCGCACUCCCUUCAAAGGAGUGGUGCCAGGCCCUUACGGCAGGUGCAUAGUUUCAUUAUUAUUAGAAGUUGUGUUCGGGUCACCUGACAACUUCCAACGAGAAAAGCUAACCUUUCAUGUCGCCCCAUUUAAAAGUAGCUAUCAAGCAUCACUGGGACGGGAAGCUUUUGUCCGCUUCAAUGCAAUACCACAUUACGCGUCUCUUACGCUUAAAAUGCCCGGUCCACAUGGCAUCAUUUCAUUAAAAGGUCGCCUGAGACCCCGGACACGGCUGGACGAGUCCGGAAUAAAUAAGCUAGGGGCUACCUAGCCACACACCCCUUCACAAGGGUUUGUACAUAUAAGCCAUAAUGAGCUAGCAUAGGCUCAGCUUUAUUAAUCUAUAUUUCAAUUUUUUAUGCACUUUCUCGCACGAUUUCUUUUCAAACUAAGUUCCUCUGUUUUUACAGAUGAACAUCGUGCACACCCGUCCAGGAUACGGCACAACGGAGACACAGGCGCAGACGUGCAGUAGGGACCCGUUGCAAGGACUCUUUUCAGACUAAGAUCCUACGUAAACCAUUCUUACUGUCUCUUGUUGCUAUAAUCCCCUGGUUUCUCAUUAUAACCAGAGUGGAGACUGGCAUUUUGGCAUCGGCCGCGCCAGAAGAACCUGCCCGUACCUGGACACAAGGGGCUUAGGGCAUUGUUUUGCCCGCUAUUGUAAAGACCGAACACCUUCGGGAGUGUUCGGCGUCUCGAGUUAGGCCUUAUAUGCAUCAGCUCCGAAUCAUGUCUUUGGUCAAAUGUUGGGUUUGCCCGGCUCCUGUGUUUUGCUGCCUUACAUUCUGUAUCAUCGGCUAACGCGGCACCAGGAGAACUACUGCGAUUGUGCCCCAGUUUGGCUGGGCGAGCACCUCAGUAGAGAAAGCCGAAAACUGACUAUCAUGAUACAGCGAGAGACUGGUCAACCACUCGAUCGACCAUGGGAAUGUUUAGAAUUCCUCCGCCUCGACGAAGGGCCGUUUCCCAGUUAGGCACAUACGCGCCCCAAAUUUGGAGAGCGCGGUGCCCCCAGGGGCUAUGUCGUAGCCCCAUCCUCGAACUCCAUGGCUAAGUGAAAGUGAUAAAGCAUUAUAGUCCGGUUGCCUCGUUUGCUACGCUACCACCUCCUUUACAGGACCGAGACGUCGGAUUAAAUGUGAAAAUGCGCUAUUUUUUGCGAACACCCCCGCACCUUGUGCGUGGGGGCUGAAGCCGACGACUGCCAUCUUUCAGGUUAUACACACGUAUACAUGAACGGCCGCAUAGGAGAUAUUCUAUUACUUGAACACACAAGUAUAAAAGGCGCUUACAUCAUAAAUAUUUUUUUACAUCAUAAAAACGUUCAUUCGAACGUAACAUUUUUUGAGCACUGCGACUCUAUUACACGAGCACCACGCAGCACUUCGCCAAAAUAGUGCUCGGCGGGUAACCGGUUAUUGUCCGAACCCAGGGUCGCAACAGCGGUGGCAUCCAUCUUUGUCCAAUGUGUCUUCACACGGGCGAGUGCCAUCCGCGCACCCUCUAUGCAGGCCGACCGCUUCAUCGCCUUGAUAUGCGGCACCGCUCCAAGAAAUUGCUGCAAUAAGCCAAAGUAACUCUUCGGCUCGGGCCUAUCCGGCCAGACAUGGGUCACUAUAUCCGUCAUAGCAAGCCCGGACAACCUAUUUAGCUCAGUCCACUCGGCCAAACGGUCGGUCAGCGGAAGUGAACACUCUGGACUAUGGAAUUGAGACCAAAACAGCUCUUCUGUCUUGUGAUCCUUCUGGCUUUGAAAAUGCACAACGACUUCCGCCGCACUCGCUGCCAAGUCCAUAUAAGGGUCCUCUGGACCCCAAAGUUGGCCCAGCUGAGCAUACUUUGGAUCCAUAAACCUUCGGCGCAGCAGAAAAGGCUUGCCAGCUACAAUUUCUCCGGCCUGGCGCAGCUCUUCCCUUAUAGCCCGCAUUGCAGAGCGGGCAUCCUUGGCUUCGGCGGUGGCCUUCUCCAGGUCUUCUUGCCCCGCUAGGCGCUCCUUCCCAAGAGCCUCAUUACGGUCGGUAGCAUCUUUUAACUUCACGGCCAUUUCGGCCAUCUCUUCCCUGCUCCGGCAGUGUGCGGACCUUUCGGCCGCUAACUCCUCGGCCGCCCUCGAGGCUGCCGCAUUACUCCUUCUGGCCUGCUCCUUGGCUUGAGCAAGUUCGGCCCGAAGGCUCUCCACAGCAGCGGCACUAUCUGCAUUUCACACACAUGUUGUAAGGAGCUGGCUUCGGCCCCCUUACCAAGUGACCGCACAGAAACACUUACCUUGCGACUCAUCAAGUCGCCUGUGGACCAGCGUGAUGUCCGCAUCCGCAACAGCGAGUUGCCGCUUUAGUUCAGCAACUCCAUCAGUCCGGCUGGCCCCCGGACGACCCGCCACCUGCAUCGGCACGGCGGAAAUUUAAACCUGCGAUUUUGAUCCUCGGCACGCUGUCGAUUUCGACAACCUACCGAGUCUUAGGGGCUACUAUCUAUACAGGGCGCAUUCUAUAUGCAAAACUGCUAAAAGGUGUGUCAUUUUUACGUACCUCAAACUCCGCCAGCAAACUCCUGACGGCAUUAUGCAACCCGCCUUCGGCGGACGAAAUCCUUUCAAUCACCAUGCUCAUCAAUGCGUGGUGAUCUUCUGAGAUAGACGCCUUCUCAAGCAGAUCCUUCAGCCGUACACCAGUUGGCGCCGAACUAUCCGGCUUUGCCAAACCAGGGGGCUCCCUCCGUGACGACACUUCAGGCUCGUCCGCCCUAUCCGACGGCGCCCCGGACGGAGGCGUCUCGCUCUCCAUCAUCUCCGGACGAAGGUCCCCCGAAGACGAGCUCAUUUGCGAAGGACGGAGAUCCGAACUACAAGGUAAAAACUUUAGUUAUCCUCAGAAGCACAAGUAGGGAUGUCCCUUAUUAUAAAAUUCCUUUCUUUCUACUUACGGCUUGUUGGAGGGCUGAUUCUCAAAGGGAGAUUGUGCGGCCGGGGCCUCCCCGGACGCAGGGCCCUCUGGCGAAGAUUUCUUCCCCCGUUUAGGGGCUUUUGCCCCCGGGUCCUCGGAGGCAGUCCUCUUCUCCCCUUGGAGGGAGGGAUUCUCGAUCCCCCCUCUUUCAAGAGCCUCCUUAGGCGAGGCAGUAGCUUUCCUGCUUUCCCCUUCGCCUUCCUCUGGAGGCGCAACCUCAAGCAUCCGGACCAGCACGGAAUCCGGCGCGGUCUCGGGGAGGGGGGCCGGACACCAUAUCAAUUUUGCUUCCGCUAUCCACUCCUGUUUAGAAGGAAGUUGGUCAUAAGGCGAAUCAUCGAAAGGCAAACAAACAGUAUGUCCGUACUUGGAACUACUUACUUGAGUAUCGGGGCGAUUGCAGCUUAGGCCAGCAUCCUCGGUCAAUUCUGGACGCGCCUCUUGCGAUCUGAAGAAUAAUUUGUACAUCUCCAGGGGUGUCAUACCCAUGAAGUGUUGAUGAAUCCGUGGGCCCUCCGGAUUGAACUCCCACAGCCGGAGAGGGUGGCGUUUGCAGGGCGGGAGACGCCUAAUCAGCAUAACCUGCAUUACCACCACCAUAUCAACCUCCCUCGUUUGGAGAUCUCGAAUCCGGCCCUGCAGUAGGGGCACGUCCUUUGACGGCCCCCAGUUGAGCCCUUGGGUGACCCACGACAUCAACCAUCAUGGAGGUCCCGGGCGGAAUAAGGGCGGUGGCUUUUGUCUGCGGCCCCUCGGAAUGGUAAUAUAGAACCACUCUUGCUGCCACAGGCCGAGCUCCUCUUGGAAGGAGCCAGCGGGCCACGGGGCAUCGGCCCUCCUACUUAUGGCCGCCCCGCCGCACUUCGCUUGACGCCCCCCGAUCAUCUACGGCGCCACAUUGAAGGUCUUCAGCCACAGGCCGAAGUGAGGGGCGAUGCGGAGGAAGGCUUCGCAGAUGACAAUAAAUGCGGAAAUAUGGAGGAUGGACUCCGGAGCCAAAUCGUGGAAUUCCAACCCAUAGUAAAACAUGAGCCCUCUCACAAAAGGAUCCAUCGGGAAGCCUAAACCCCGACGGAGGUGGGAUACAAAAACGACAUACUCGCCGGGCUCGGGGGUGGGGAUGGCUUGCCCUUCGGCAGGCAACCAGUGCGAAAUCUCAUAAGUUAGGUACUUGGCCUCCCGCAGCUUUAGUACGUCCUCCUCCGUGACGGAGGAGGGCAUCCACUGGCCCUGGAGGUCGGAACCGGACAUCUUUGAAGGUCCGAAGCGCUCGAAUCUGGAGCUCUAGGUGCUGGAACUUGGAGCGGGGAGAGGAUUCGAUGGAGGAUUGAAGAAAAGAAACGAGCCUUGGUCCCAUUAUAAAGAGGGAGAAUACCGAGAGCCGUCUCCGUGACCGUUUGGGACUCGCCUUCGAUAGAGGGGGCGUGGCGACGGGCGCAGUUGGGUUACCCACGUCCGUAUUGAUGAGAAUCCCGGAUUAAGGGGAAACACGAUCUCUGCUUCGACAAGACGUGCCAAGGAAACCGCUUCGCUAAAUGCGCUGAGGUGGUAGAGUAAAAAAUGAUUCAAGUAAUGGCUUGGUAGUGGCGUGACGUCAUGCCGCAAAAAACGUCAGCAGAUUGAACUUGUGUAUAUAUUAUUCUCUCUACGGUGGAAUGUGGAAUUUAUUUUGCAGAGCCGGACACUAUCCUGGUGUUCACAAUCUUCUAUCAUUCGGAGGAGGAACCCGCCUUGCAAUGCCAAGCAAUAUACGCGCCGGACUUAUCGUCAUUGAAGCCUGGUUCAGGGGCUACUGAGGGAGUCCUGGAUUAGGGGGUGUCCGGAUAGCCGGACUACCAUCAUCAGCCGAACUAUCAUCGGCCGGACUAUCAUCAUCGACCGGACUCCAAGACUAUGAAGAUACAAGAUUGAAGACUUCGUCCCGUGUCCGGAUGGGACUUUCCUUGGCGUGGAAGGCAAGCUUGGCGAUACGGAUACGUAGAUCUCCUACCAUUUUAACCGACUCUAUGUAACCCUAGCCCUCUCCGGUGUCUAUAUAAACCGGAUGGCUCUAGUCCGUAGGACACAACAACAACCAUUACAAUCAUACCAUAGGCUAGCUUCUAGUGUUUAGCCUCCUUGAUCUCGUGGUAGAUCCACUCUUGUAAACAUCCACAAUAUCAAUAUUAAUCAAGCAGGACGUAGGGUUUUACCUCCAUCAAGAGGGCCCGAACCUAGGUAAAACAUCGUGUCCCUUGUCUCCUAUUACCAUCCGCCUAGACGCACAGUUCGGGACCCCCUACCCGAGAUCCGCCGGUUUUGACACCGACAAACAUCAUCUGUGGUCAUCUGACCAAAGGACAGUAUGGUCGUGUGAGUGCUCUGGAAACGUCAAAGCUAGUAUGGGACUGGCUGUCCAAGGUCAACGAAGGCAUCUCAACUCAGAGAGAUCAAAGGAUCAGUAUUCUUCGCAACCUCUUCAACCGCUUCAAGAGAAACGACAAUGAAAAUGUCCAGCUCACGUUUGAUCGCCUCAGCGACAUCACAAAUGAGCUUCAGGCUCUCGGUGCCACUGAGAUCACCAAGCAUGAAAUCGUCAAGACGCUGCUGAGAUCUCUUGACAGCUCCUUUGACACCCUUGCCCUCAUGAUACAAGAACGUCCUAACUUCAAGACUCUCGAUCCGUCUGAUAUACUUGAGAGGCUCAACACACAUGAGUUCCAGCUUUCUGAGAAAACAGAUAUCUAUGGCCCCAACUAUGGCCGAACUCGUGCUUUGAAGGCAAAAGUUGUUUCCUCAUCUAAAGAAGAAGAAUCUGACUGCGGUUCUGAUGAUCCUGAAGACAUUGGAACGGAACUUUCUAUGCUUGUGAAGAAGUUCCAGAAAUUCACCAAGAAGAAGGGCUUCAGAAAGUCUUCACGAUCCAGUUCAAGAAAUGAUGAAGCUUCCACUCAAGACAACAAGAAGAGAACAUGUCACAAGUGUAAGAAGCCUGGGCACUACAUCUCUAAGUGUCCUCAGUGGGACAAUGAGAAGAAGAAGAAGAAGAGGAAGGAAUAUGACUCUGAUGACAAGAAGAAGAAGAAGAAAUCUUCAAAGUCUUCUUCCAAGUCCUCAUCAAAGUCUUCAUCUCAUAAGAAGAGCUCAUCUGGCAAGGCUCGUGCUUUUGUUGGCAAAGAAAUGGAUUCAGAGGAGGAGUCUGCUUCUAAGGAGGCGGAGGUGGAAUCUGAAGCUGAGUCCAACUCUGGCGUUGCAAGUCUGGCUCUAGCCACAGCCUACGUUGCCAAGUCCAUCUUCAACACUGAAGACAAUGACUCCCACUCCAACGUUGAUGAUGAAAAGGACGAUCCUGCUCCCACCUACUACUUCAUGGCAUGCGGUGCCAAGGUAAAAUCACGCGAUGCUUACUUUCAAACAUCAAGUGAAGAUGACUCUGAUUGUGAAUCUAAACCCAGCUACAAAACACUUGCUAAAAUUGCUACUGAACAACAAAGGGCUAUGGAACAUAUUAAAAAACUGUUAGACAAAAGCGAUGACCUGUUGGACGCGGAAAUGACACGUUCACAGUCCUUAGUUGAAGACAUAAAAACUCUUCAUGCUAAGUAUCAAGAACUUGAAAGUCUUCAUGAGACGCUCUCAACCACUUAUGAAAAGCUCUCCUAUGAUUAUCUUCAAAGGAAGCAAGAGCUUGAGAAAUUGAAAGCGACUCAUGAAGAUCUUGAAAAAGAGAAUGAGUCAUUUUGCGCUCAAUAGAUCAGUUCUGCUCAGGAUGGAUUUGAACCACCAUGUUUAAAAUGCAUUGAGUGUAAUAACGCUACCUCUGUUGCUGAAUGUUCAAAUGCUGCUACUGUUGCUUUGUCUUCAACUACUGAUGUGGUAACUAACCCCUCGGCUGAGGAUACCACUACUAUUGCUGAUGAAAAUGCUAGGUUGAAGACACUGCUUGAAACAGGGAUGUAUAAAAGUCUGAAAGGACAUCAGACACUUUGUGAUGUCCUCAAAAAGCAGAUUCUGAACCGAAACCCUAGGAAAGAGGGUGUUGGGUUCGAAAGGAAAAUGAAUGCUGAUGGUUCCUACUGGAAGCCUGAGAAGUAUCCCAAAACCACAUGGGUUGCUGCAAAGGAACCUUCAGUGGAUCCAUCCACUUUAUCUGGCUUUACCUGUGCAAAUCCUAUUAUCAUUGAUGAAUCCUUUGAUGCAAACUAUAAACUGUUCAAAAAUCAGAAUGGUGAAGUGUUUGCCAGGUAUAUUGGUACUAACCGCAGGAAUGGAGCACCUAUGAAGAAGAUCUGGGUUCCCAAAAGCUGUCUUGAGAAUCUUCCAGUGAAUGUCAUCAUGACACCACUUGGGAAGAAGACAAAUCCCAAACCAAAGGCAUCAUAUGGUCCAACGGCUUCAUACGAAUACAGGACUCACUUGAGUCACCCUAACGCCAAUGUUUUGCAGGGAAAUCGUACUCAAACUUAUGAAUAUGAAUGUGUGUCCUCAAACCGCCAUGUACAUAGGACUAAGAACUUUUAUGCUUAUUCAUAUGAGUAUCAUUCAUCUCCUACAAGGCUAUUUGCUAGGGCUUCAAAGCCAAAAUUCUCAGAUGCUGCACUUAGACUCAUUGCUUCUAAACCACCCCUGAAGAUGUGGGUGGUGAAGAAGAAUUAACUCUCUUUUGCAGAAUAUGGUCUCCAGCCAGCAAUCAAAGGCGUCCGAUAUUAUUGCUGGGGACCUAAAACACAAAGGGACGCUUGAUAAAAUGACUCACUAUGUAUUCCACAUAUGAAUCGUUUACCUGUCAUACUGUGUGUUCUAACAUUCAUCUAUGUUGUGAUAAUCCUAGUGUGCAUCAAAUGCUUAUGCUUCAAAACAUACCUUGUGAAGCCUAUCCUCCUAACUGCACUGUAGGGUAUGACACCUCGUGCUUCAGAAUGGAUUAUGGAUAGCGGAUGCACUAAUCAUAUGACUGGUGAUCGAAGUCUUCUCAUGGACUCAACCUUACGUCCAUCCGACAAGAGUCAAAUAACAUUUGCUGACACUGGUAAAGGCAAGGUAUUGGGUCUAGGUAGAGUUGCAAUCUCAAAGGAUCAACACAUGGAUAAAGUGAUGCUUGUUGAAUCCCUUGGAUUCAACUUAAUGUCUGUCUCAAUGCUUUGUGACUUAAACAUGAUUGUGAUAUUCGGAAAAUAUCGUUGCCUUGUACUAAUGGAAUCUGACAAGUCUCUAGUCUUCGAAGGGUAUAGGAAAGGUGAUCUAUACAUGGUAGAUUUCUUAGCAGGUCCACAGCUUGCCGUAUGUGUUCCUGCAAAAGCUUCAGAAUGUUGGCUCUGGCAUCGAAGGCUGGGGCAUGCUGGCAUGAGGAACUUACACACACUCGUCAAGAAGAAGCAUGUCAUAGGCAUCGAAGGUGUCAAGUUCAAGAAAGAUCAUUUGUGUGGUGCCUGCGAAGCUGGAAAGAUGACGAGGGCCAAGCACCCCUCGAAGACAAUCAUGACGACAUCUCAACCCUUCGAGCUGUUGCACAUGGACUUAUUUGGCCCUACUCACUACUCUACCCUCACAACAAUAGCGUGUCUCUAUGGCUUCGUCAUUGUUGAUGACUACUCAAGAUAUACAUGGGUGCACAUAAUUCUCUACAAAACUGAAGUACAAGAUGUCUUCAGACGAUUCGCCAAUCAAGCAAUGAACAACUAUGGCGCCAAGAUCAAGCAUAUCAGAAGUGAUAAAGGCACUGAAUUCAAGAACACCGGGCUUGAUCUUUAUCUGGAUACAAUGGGAAUCACUCAUGAGUUCUCUGCCCCAUACACACCUCAGCAAAAUGGCAUUGUAGAGCGCAAGAACAGAACCCUCAUUGAGAUGGCUCGAACAAUGCUCGACGAAUACAAGACACCAAGAAAGUUCUGGCCCGAAGCUAUUGAUACAGCUUGUCACAUCAUCAACCGUGUUUACAUCCACAAGCUUAUGGGAAAAACAUCCUAUGAGCUCCUUACUGGCAAGAAGCCAAAUGUCAGCUACUUCAGAGUCUUUGGUGCUAGGUGCUGGAUCAAGGAUCCCCAUCACAACUCAAAAUUUGAACCCAAAGCUCACGAAGGCUUCAUGCUCGGUUAUGGAAAGGAUUCACACUCUUACAGAGUCUUCAACCUCUUCCACUACAAAAUCGUUGAAACUGUGGACGUGCGAUUUGAUGAAACUAAUGGUUCACAACGAGAGCUCCUGCCAAGCACAUUAGAUGAAUCUCCUUCCAGCGAAUCCAUCAAGCUAAUGGGAACUGGUGAAAUCAUGCCCUCUGAAGCACAACCUGAAGAGGAACUUAUCAUUUCUGCACCAAACCAACCUGAAGACAAUGCUCAGACCGAAGACAAUCCUCCCAAUGAUGACAAUGAUCAGCAUGAGCAAGGGCUUCGUCCAGUUCAUCCUCGUGUUGCAAAUGAAGUACAAAUUGAGAAGAUAAUUGAUAGCAUCAAUGCACCUGGUCCACUUAAUCGCUCAAGAGCAACACAGUUAGCAAAUUUCUGUGGGCAUUUUUCAUUUGUAUCAAUAUCUGAACCCAAGAAAGUUACUGAAGCCUUUAUGGAACCUGAAUGGAUUCAAGCCAUGAAAGAAGAACUUCAACAGUUCAAGCUGAAUAAUGUUUGGGAACUUGUCAAGCGCCCUGACCCUCGCAAACAUAACAUUAUUGGCACUAAAUGGAUAUAUCGGAACAAACAAGAUGAGCAUGGUCAAGUCGUCAGAAACAAAGCACGUCUUGUGGCUCAAGGAUAUACUCAAGUUGAAGGAAUUGACUUCGAUGAAACAUUUGCUCCGGUGGCUAGGCUGGAAGCUAUUCGCAUCCUGCUAGCCUAUGCUAAUCACCACAACAUCUUUCUAUAUCAAAUGGAUGUGAAGAGUGCUUUCCUCAAUGGCAAGAUUGAAGAAGAAGUGUAUGUCGCUCAACCACCUAGCUUUGAAGAUCCAAAACAUCCUGAUAUGGUGUACAAACUAAACAAAGCAUUGUAUGGCCUCAAAUAAGCUCCUCGCGCUUGGUAUGAUACAAUCAAAGACUUCCUGAAGAGAAAAGGCUUCAAACCAGGAUCCCUCGAUCCAACACUCUUCACGAAGACAUAUGAUGGUGAACUGUUUGUAUGCCAAAUAUAUGUGGAUGACAUAAUCUUCGGCUGCACCAACCAGAAGUAUAAUGAUGAGUUUGGAUACAUGAUGUAAGAGCCAUAUCAGAUGUCCAUGAUGGGUGAGCUGAAGUUCUUCCUUGGUCUUCAAAUUCGUCAGCAAAGGAAUGGCAUCUUCAUAUCUCAAGAAAAAUAUCUCAAAGACUGUCUGAAGAAGUUCGGCAUGCAAGAUUGCAAAGGUUACACGACGCCAAUGCCAUCCAAACAUCAUCUUGGUCCCGACGACAAUGGUAAAGAGUUCGAUCAAAAGGUAUACCGCUCCAUGAUUGGUUCUUUACUUUACCUAUGUGCAUCUAGGCCAGAUAUUAUGCUUAGUGUUUGCAUGUGUGCUCGAUUCCAAGCGGCACCAAAGGAAUUGCAUCACUUGGCUGUGAAGCGAAUUCUUAGAUAUUUGGCUUACACCCCAACACUCGGAUUAUGGUAUCCAAAGGUCUCAAGAUUUGAUCUGGUUGGAUUCUCGGAUGCUGAUUAUGCUGGUGACAAGGUGGAUCGCAAGUCUACAUCAGGAACAUGUCACUUUCUGGGACGAUCACUUGUCUGUUGGUCUUCAAAGAAGCAAAACUGUGUAUCACUCUCAACUGCUGAGUCUGAAUACAUUGCUGCUGGAUCUUGUUGUGCUCAGCUUCUAUGGAUGAAGCAAACUCUCAAGGACUAUGGCGUCAAUCUGAAACAAGUACCUCUCUUCUGCGACAACGAAAGCUCCAUCAAGAUUGCCAACAAUCCAUUUCAGCACUCGAAGACAAAGCACAUUGAAAUUCGUCAUCACUUUCUCAGAGAUCAUUUCAUGAAGAAAGAUAUUAACAUCAUUCACGUCAUCACUGAAGAGCAACUGGCAGAUAUCUUCACAAAGCCCCUGGAUGAGAAAAGGUUUUGCAAGUUACGGUGUGAGCUAAAUAUCUUAGAAUCCUCAAAUGUCCUGUGAUCAAGCACACAUCCUAAUACUUAUGCAUGUUGAUGACUUAGAUGUGCAACACACGAAGUAAAGUAUAUCUUCAACUAAUGAAGACUUACAUUCCGAGUGUGAAUACAUUAACAUGGAAUUUGACUUCGGAGCGCCACGAUAAUUGUGCGCCGUGUCUGGGUCUAAUACUUCCUAUACGGUGGGUAACGCCACCACCAAAUUUCUUGGUUUGAAGUGUUUCACUCAUGGCGUUAUUGUUGAAUAUCUUCGCAUUUGAUUUGACUUCAAAAUUUCAACUAAUCUUCAUGAUUUACUUCACUAUGUUGAGUUGAUUGCUUUCUCAUAUAUAUAUAUAUAUAUAUAUACCAAUAUUCUGUCCUCUACAACAUUCACUUAUAGCUAUGUCUUCAUUGUUGAAUCUUUUGAACUAAGUGAAUGUGAUUGGACCCUAAUCUCUCUAUGCUUACUAUCUCAAACUCUAUCUGUCCAAAUCAUAUGCAUUCUAUUGAAACUGUCGAAUGUCUUCUCCGCGUCCUUGUCAGCAGAAGGCACAGAGACAAACAUUAAGUCUGUUAAAUGAUUCACCCUUAUUGACUGAAAUCCGGAGAAGCCGGAACGACCAUCCAACAAACUUGGCGGGCGUGGGAACAUGGGACAACUUUGAGUAUGUUGCAUGCUUGCCACGUGUUCCUCAGAUGUGAACAGGUAGGGGCACCUGCGUAAUUGCGAUGUGCCUCACACCUUCUUAUAAAUACAUGCCCCCUGCGGUCAAGAAAACCUUCUUCCACCUCACCACCUUGUCAAAACCCUAGCGCCACCGCUAGCUCUCGACGACGCCUGCGACGAAGCGCUUAGCUACCGCGACUUCUCCGACGCUGUCCUCACGCCGGCCGCGGGCAUCGUCCUCUCUGCCGCCGCCAUAGGUGUCCUCCGUCGCCAAGUUAGGGCACGGUGGAUUGAACUGCUCGGUCUCCUAUUCACCCCAUCUAGCAGUUCAUCGUGUGGUAAAUAUAACUCUAUUUUUACCAGCUUUUUGAUCCUCAAUAAUUCAUCCAAUUUACCAAAAUUGGUUUCUGUCUAUACAAAGUUAGAUCUAUUCUGUCUGCAUCUCAUAUUGCCUAGUAUAUUCACUUAAGCUUCAUAUCUAGUUAGAUUCCUCACUUGUACUUAUUCACGGAUUCGUACAAAUCUGGAACCGACUCUCAACAUAUAAGUGAAUGUCUUCGCAACAUGAGGUCAAUGUCUUCAAACUGAUUUAUCUUCAAAAUCUUCUGAGAAUGCAUAUGACCUCUUCCCCUUCCCUCGCAUCUCUAAUGCUGUCACAGGUACAUGUCUGUGGGAGAAUCCCUAGGUUCUCAUAGUCUGCAUUCGUUUGCAGAAUUCUUACAGCAACACAUUGAAUCUCCCGAAGCCAGUUCCUGUCUGACCAGCAAGCGAAAGCCUUUGAAGCCUUUGAACAUAUUGAAACCAUUCAGUUUGAAGUUCAUGGCUACGGAGAAAUCUGUAAGGAAGGGUGGCAGACAACGUCGAGGGGGAACAUCAAAGGAUCUUCCUGAUGAUCUUGCAGAACUUUACAAGACAGAUCCUGAAGAGGAUUAUAAUCAGCGCAAGACACGAAUCCAAUGGAUUCGAUGCUAUUGGGCUGAACAAUGGUUCAAGUACAAGUUCGUGACCCAGGAGUACGCUGAGAAGAUGUCACAUCCCUAGCUUCUGGUAAUGCUCUAGGCUAGCUCAUGUGUGCAUCAUGUUUAAAUUCAAAUGAAAUUUGAAUUGAGGAAUUUUCAAAGCCUCAGAAACCUCUAAAAAUAACCAACAAUUAAAUCUUCUCAAAUGUGUCUAAGAAAAUGUUCCUGAUAUCCUCUGGAAAUAUUGGCAAGAGGUAAAAUCCAAUUGGUGUCUCAGAAACAUCUAAUUUGGGCAUUUGAAUUAAAUCAAUAAUUAUUUGAAUUGGAUUUAUAUCUACUAUUAAAUAAAUAUAGGUCCAAUAAUUCUGAAAAUAUUUUGUGGAGCAUUGUUUUAAUUCUUUUAGCUCCUAAAAAUAUUGUUAGAAGCAAAAUAAAUUGAAUUGGUUUCAAAACCAAAUUCAAAACAAACCUGCAAAAUAGAAAACUGAAAUAAUUAGAAAAAGACAGAGAGAGAAGAGAAACCUUACCUGGCGCCACCACCGGCCCAGUUCCCCCAGCCGGCCCAGCCCACCUCCUCCUCCUUUGUCCUCUUCCUCCUCUGCCAGGAGGACGAGCAGAGGCGAGGCGUGGCGCUCGCCGACGCUGCCUCGGCCACCUCCUGCUUCCCCCCCUAGCCACCUUCUGCUUCCUCUCGUUGCCCUGGAUCCCGUCCGCGACGCCACGCACCCCCCCAGGCCUCUCACUCUCUCCCCGAGCUCCUCUCCUCCUCUGGCUCUCUCGCGCGCAGCCACCAAACGGAGCCGCCGCCAUCGACGCCGAUUGCCGCGGCCACCGUGCUCCCCACGCCUCACCGACGCCCCAGGGAGCUCCGCCUCGACCCCCUCCUUCCUCCCCACCGACCCACGGCCCUCCGGAAGCCCUGCAACGCCGUCACCAUCGCCGUUCCGUCGCCGGCCACCGAAGCUCCCCUUCGUCGAUUCGCCGGACCCCGUGCCUCCCCUGCCUCGCCAGCAGCACCAGAAGAACCGCGGUGAGCCCUCGACCCGAUUCCCCCUCUCCCCGUGCCCCACCUCCCUCUCUAGCUAGCCCCACCACUUUGCCCGAGAAUCUCUCGCCGCCGGCCAUGGCGUGGCCGUGGCCACAGCCACCCCAGCUCGUAUCCGAGCCCACUGACGUGCUCACCGUGAUCUCAGGACUCCGUAGCACGCCCCAGCUCCUCCUGCCGUGCUCCCUAACCCCGACCCCGAGAUUGCCCGAACUCCGGCAGCCGCAAAGGAGCUCGCCGCCGGCAGCUCCGGCCACCCCAGCCUCCGCCACCGCCACCGUUGGAUGCGCCACUCCACCCUCUCCCCGUAGCUGCUCCCUGCGCGCCAAAAGAGCCCCUGUAGUUGGUUUCCGACGCGCACCACCGCGUCUGGCCUCGCCGGCGUCAAGCCGCCGGUGGGUCUGACCCACGUUGACCACGGCGGGACCCCCCCCCCUCUGGGUCGAUGACAGGUGGGGCCAGCCCCCCCUGCUAAUUAGUUUAGUUAUUUUAUUUUAACUACCCCCUCUACUGACACUGACAGGUGGGCCCCCGCCAUCAGGUGAUUAGCUUAAGCUAAUCACCACCUAAUCUAACCCCAGAGCCACUGACAUGUGGGCCCUAGUGCCCUAAUCCUUAAUUAAACUAAAAUAAACCCCCCCCCCUGUUAACCUGUGACGCUGACAUAUGGGUCCCACAGGUCAGGUUUGACCUGGAGGCGCCCUGUUGACCUGCUGACGUCAAGGUGAUGUCAUGCUGACGCAUUAAAUGAUUUUCUGGAUUUAAAAUAAAUCAGAAAAUUCCAGAAAAUUGUAUAAACUUCUAAAAUUCAUAGAAAAUUAACCGUAACUCCAAAUUAAAUAAAUUAUAUAUGAAAAAUUAUCAGAAAAAUUCAAGGAAUCCAUCUGUACCAUUUUCAUGCAUGUUAGAACAACUUAUCACUACUGUUUAGGGCAAAUGAAGUGAAUGGCAUUUGAAUAAUCACAUAUGGAGUUUGAAUUUGAAUUUUAUAUUCAAACCAACUUCAUUUAAUCUGUUGCUAGUUGCAUUAGCUCAAAACACAUUCAUAUUGCCAUGUCAUAGCAUGCAUCAUAUUGUGCAUUGCAUUGAUUGUGUUUCCUUCUGUGUUGCCGGUAUUUGUCCCCUCUCGAUAGACGUGAUACCGAUGACGUGAUCGUUGACACUGAUGAAGACUCAAUGUUAUCUUCAGAAGUGCCAGGCAAGCAAAACCCCCUUGUUCAUUCCGAUACAAUCCUACUCUCUCGCUCCUGCUCUCUUUUACUGCAUUAGGACAACACCGAUUCAUCUGUUACUUGCUGCGGUAGCUGAACCCCUUUAUCCUUUGCAUGACCUGUCAUUGCCACAGUAAAUAGAUGAAACCCACUAGCAUGAGUAGGAGUUGUUUGAGCCCUGUCGUGCCUACUCAUUCAUGUUUGUUUGUCAUGCCUGCUACUGCUUAGAGUUGAGUCAGGUCUGAUUCAUCGGGGAUGAAUCAGAGGCGGGUGAACAUGUCCUACUGUGUGUGAGCUAAGUGUGUGAACACGAUUUGGUAAAAGGUGUCGGUGAGAGGCCAUGUAGGAGUACAUGGUGGGUUGUCUCAUUGAAACCGUCCUCAGGAACUGAGUUCUGUGUUUGUGAUCCAUGAUUCAGCUACUACCAUACAUUGGGCCCUGAAAUAUGACCCCGCUCGACUUCUUAUUCACCCUUGUUCUCUGUCCAGGAGUUGCAAGUAGUUUCUGGUGUUUGUAGUAUGCUGGAGGCCGUGGACAGCGCUGACCGUAGGGGUGGGCUGUGGUGCGGUAGGCACGUGGCACGGUGUACCGGGCGCCCGUUUGGUGUCUCGGGAACCCUGUUCACAUCGUUUGGGGCUGUGAGCGAAACUCCGGCCGGAUCUCCUCAUGGAUGGAACCCGAAUAGGCGAUAAACCUGGACUAGAGACUUGAGUGUUUAGGUAGGUCGUGGUCUACACCCACGUCGGCUUUCGCUUGAAGUCUGCCGAGCACAUGUCGUGUGCAGACGCUAAGUGGUGGAAACAUGUAUGAAGAAGUACACCCCUGCAGGGUUAACAUCAUCUAUUCGAAUAGCCGUGUCCGCGGAAAAGGACUUCUGGGUUGCUUAUAUCAGUUCAUAGACAAGUGAAAGUGGAUACUCUAAAAUACGCAAGAUAAGCGUGAGUGCUAUGGAUGGCGUUCUCGUAGGGAGACGGGAGCGGUUCCAUAGUGGUGUAUUGGUUGGUGAAUAUGUGGACUCGUGUGCGCCACCUCAAAAGAGUUACAUUACAGUCGUAGUUCAGGAUAGCCACCGAGUCAAAGCUGGCUUGCUGCAGUCAAACUCCACCAUCCCCUUUGUUGAUAAUGAUGCAUGUGUAGAUAGAUCUGAUGUAAGUCUUGCUGGGUACAUUUGUACUCACGUUUGCCUAUUUUAUGUUUUGCAGAGAGACUUCAGUCUCACUAGUAUUUCCGCGUGGUCUUCGACGUUUAGCUUGUUACCUCAGCUACGAUCUUGUGCCCUCGGCAGGAUCUGAUAGAUAGUCAGGCUUCUCAGCCUUUUUCAUUUAUAGAUGUCUGUACUCAGACAUGAUAGCUUCCGCUUGUGCUUUGACUUGUAUGCUCUGAUUGUUGGGUCAUGAGACCCAUGUUUGUAAUGUCUCGCUCCUCGGAGCCUAUUGAAUAAACUACUUGAGUCGUAGAGUCAUUUUGUGAUGCCAUGUUGUAUUGCACAUAUCGAGCAUAUUGUGUGUAUGUUAUUGAAAUGCUUGGUAUGUGUGGGAUCUGACCAUCUAGUUGUUUAUCUUUAGUAGCCUCUCUUACCGGGAAAUGUCUCCUAGUGUUUCCACUGAGCCAUGGUAGCUUGCUACUGCUCCGGAACAUUUAGGCUGGCCGGCAUGUGUCCUUCUUCGUUCCUGUGUCUGUCCCUUCGGGGAAAUGUCACGCGGUGAAUACCGGAGUCCUGUUAGCCCGCUACAGCCCGGUUCACCGGAGUCCUGCUAGCCCAGUGCUACAGCCUGGAUUCACUCGCUGAUGACCGACACGUUCGAUGCUGGGUCAUGGAUGCCUGUCCCUGUAAGUCUGUGCCGCUUUGGGUUUACGACUAGCCAUGUCAGCCCGGGCUCCUUAUCAUAUGGAUGCUAGCGACACUGUCAUAUACGUGUGCCAAAAGGCGCAAACGGUCCCGGGCAAAGGUAAGGCGACACACGUGGGAAUACCGUGCGUGAGGCCGCAAAGUGAUAUGAGGUGUUACAUGCUAGAUCGAUGUGGCAUUGAGUCGGGGUCCUGACAGCGUUGGUAUCAGAGCUUGACUGCCUGUAGGAUUACCAAGCCAAACUGGUCGAAGUUGUGUCUAGAAAUUCUUUAGUUAUAUAAGGGAAUUGAUUGUGGGAUGGAACGUAAGGCUCUUUUUACUCCUUAUACCUCAUGGCCUUCUGAUCUGAGUCAUCAUCUUCUCUUCUACGGGGAUUAAGAACUAGGCUAUCUCUUCUUUCUAUUAGGAUCACGUGUUACUAAUCCGUAGACCUAUAGAAUUGUUGGACUUAAGCCUCGUUUCAGUUCCUACUACUUCCGUAUGUUAAUUGUUGAUCUCGAAACCUUGAUAUUGUACUUCUGAGUGGUUAUGCCACCAUUUUUGUGAAUGUCUCAAAUCUUUUCUGAGCAUUUACAGCCGUUAUGCUGUCCGAGUCAUCCCAGGUUUCUAAGUAGUCUGAUGCAAUUGCAAAUCUUUUCUUCCCGUUCCAAUGUUCCCAUGGGCCAGAUUAACCACACUAAUCAGUGAGUUGAGGUACUUCGUUACCUUGACAUAUAUGUUGGAGAUAUUAUUAUGACCCUAGGUGUCUUAGGGGAUCACCUAGCAAUUUAGCCAUGAUUUGUGUUCCCGGUGUGAUGAUUCUGGCCAUCAUUCUCGAAAGCAUCCCGUGAUGCUACUUAGUAAUAGGUAUUCUAUCCCUGGGUUUUGAACCCGAGAUUCACUCUACCUACUUCAUGUUGAUAGUAAUUGCUAGUGCCUUUAGGAUAUUAGUAACCUUUGCGAUAGUCCUUGAAGUCCGUGGUAUCUUCUUCUUCCAAAUACCAUGAACUACUUAUGGCAGAUGUUUAUUGGAUCAAAAAAAAAUCACAAUUAGAGUACUCUUGAGGAGUUCUCCAUUCAUAAAUCGUGACUCUGCCAGUUCUACCUUUCUGCAUGGGUUAUCCGGAAGAAAUAUGUUGAACUUGGUUCGACAUACUAAUCUAUGCAUCCACAACUCAGAAAAUUAUAUGUUCCUUUGAGUUGUUCUCUUUAGUUGCAUUCUGACCCUCGUCUAUCAAUUGAUAGUCAAGAGUAUGCGUGCGUUCGUUUACCGAUGCCUAUUACUCUUGUGGUCCGUCAAGCCAUUCUAUCGCAGAAUGACUAGGAGAAACAAACUCCAGUACCUCUUCCAUAUCCAGGAUUGGGUCAAAGAAGUUGUGCUCCGCAGAUCAAAUUGCUAAUCCAGCUUUUGUUCUGUUCUACCUUGGAGUAUUACAUAUUUUAUAUCGAGAUUAUUAUAGGAAUUGCACACCAUCCUAUGAACUCUUGGUACAGUGAUACUUCUCACCAUCAUUAGUCAUUCCUCGGCCCUUGUGUUGAUGCAACCGGAAUACCGACAAAUGAAUUGUGAUGUGUGAAAUCAAUACUCCUAGCAACCUCGUUGCUUGGUAGUUAAAGGACAAUAAUUUCAUUCUUAGUGUGUUGGUUAUAGAAUCAUCAUUCUAAGAUUGAUCGUGCUACCUAGUCCAUUCUCCUGGUUCACUCCUCGAUCGAUGAGUUAGGAUUAUUUCAAAUCCUUACUCUAUUGAUCAUAUCGUCCUGCCCUGAAAAGCAAGAUUGUUCUCGAGCUUAGUAACAUACCGAUGGUUCGUGAUUUUCUGAAUAUCUUCUCAGAAGUAUUACCAGGUUGUCACCUGACCGCUAUGUUGAGCUCGUGAUCAAGUUGGUUUCUUGUGAACCACCUUCUCUCCAAGAAUCAGUGUUAGAUAUCCCUGAGCUAGUUGGUUAAGCUAAACGACAACUUGGAGGGUUGGAAGAUAAAAGCUUGCCUGACUUAGUUCGUUCCAAAAGGAUAUUCUUGUGUAGUGUGUGUUGAAGAAAGAUGAUAUCUUCAUCGAUUGGUCCCUGUGAUCAGUUGUUGGAUCUAUCGUCUUAUCAAUCCUCUGAUUUGAGUGCGGGCUAUCGUCAAAUCAAGUCAGAACCAACGGUGCUCGUAAUGUUGUCUUCCUCGUGGUUGAUCCCUCGAGCAUACACCAUUAUAUCUUUUGGGUCUGACCACUGCUAUCACCGUGUUCACACGAUGGUGGAAGUCCAGUGAUAUGGAAAUUCCGAUGAGUUGUUGUUGAGUCCAUUGACAACAUCCUUAUCCCCUCCAUGCUGUUGUUGAACCUUAAGUUAGUGUUGGAAACUUUUGAAAGCAUUUGUUCAUGCUAGCUCAUGAAGCAUGUGUUUUUGGAUGAAGGUAGUGACUUCCUUUAAUUCAGGUGCAUCUGAUGCAAGUUGCCGCCGUGGAUUCGAGAAAGUCAAUGUUGUUUCUUUGGAAUCAUCCCAAAUCAGUCAUGCAUACGUGCGAAAGUAUUCUGUGGUUCGGAGACUUGCAACCUCCAUUCCAUAUGUGUUCCGUAGCACCCCAAGCCACUGACUGAUUUGUUCGAGAAAAGGAGUUAAGUGUUAAUCCAUGGUAAUGCACAAGACUUCGAUACCCUCGUUGAUGGUUCCCCCUCCUGAACUCGGUAGUGUUUUAUUAUAAGACUACUUUGUGGUCAUGCUUGUCUUGGACAACAUGUUCACAUGUUUGUAGCAGAACCAGCUCAUGUUUUGGAGCUUGCUAUCAUAGUUCAUCUCUCGAGAAUCUCGCAACGUCAUCUCGUCGAUUCGUGUUGCAAACUUCCGUUUUUCUUCCUGGACUCGAUGAGUCUGGAAUAUCCUGACACCAACCAGAUCUGAAUCUCAGGCAGAUAUGAUGGUUGGAAUAUUUCCCAAGAAUUAUAAUAUUGGUCCCUCGAAAACCGGUAAAGUGGAUGUCGUGGCCAACACACCCAGCCGGAAGACCUGUUAUUAUAAUAUCUUGAUUGAGGAAGUUGACCACCCCCCCUAGGGAUUUCGUAGGGUUUACCUCCCUAGUUGUUCCUUAUGGAUUCUUGUGCUCCCGAAGUCCGACCUUUUUACUUGAUGUUCUAGAUACCAAACCAUUUCAAUGAAUGGGAUACGCUAGCACAUCAAGGAGAACAUUAGGAGCGGAGUGCUAAAUGUCUCUCGGUCGAUCAUCCAGAUUUUGCUUCCUUGGCCUCGCUAAGGUGAAAUCUGAGAAGGUGUUAUCUUCCUUUGCAUCUGCAUCAUCCAUCAUCAUUCAUCAUUGUAGCAAGUUGUGUUGCCAGGAUCCUUGACACGGGUAUUGGUAAAACCUUGAUGAAUGUGGAAAUGCUCAAGUUCUUGAGAGCACGCACAAGCGCUAGGUGUUAUCAUCGGCACUAACUGGGUUUGCUCUCAGUUUCCUCGGCAAUGCUAUAACCAUUCCAAUAGUGGAAUAACUCUCUAUUGUUGGGUUCUUCCCCAGUUACCAGAAUCAUUCCCAGCAUUUGCAUUCUGUUCCUAGCUUGCACCGCCAAUGUACCAUUCUACCAUGGGUCUCUUCCACCUCCGGUGAUAAGCAAAUUCAUCCAUUACGUUGUCUUCAACAAGGUAAUCCACAUCAUCCAAGUCCGAGUAUGCCAUUCUACCGACCCCCUCCAAAUGAUCGCUUGCGAUUGCCUUAGGCUGGUAUAAAGAAUUUCAAUGAUCUUUGAAUCAAAGGUAAUUCUUUUGCCACUUAAGGGGAUAAUCUACGAAUCACCCUCCUUCAGGAUGUUUCGUCGUGGUAUCAUGGCAACUCAAAUCCUCGCUACGUUAACAAUCGAUUACCACCUUCUUAAGUGUGGAACUAUUGUCUACCUAGUGAACCUUCAUCAUCCGUUUCUUUCCACCCCUCUUGAUGUGUAUCUCGUGUCUCAACCCGAGAGAUGGUUCUAAGUCUCAUUCCGUGAGUUAGUCCUGAGUUGUUCGACCUUCGAGAAGAUCGACCCUUCUAGAGUCUCCUUCUUCCCUCCAUGUCAUGUUGACAGGAGUGCUCAGAGCAAGACGACAAGACAAAGAUGGUGUUCAAAUCAACGUUCAACUGAAGUGCACCCUGGAUCGUGAAGAUUAUACUAGUUGCGCUUACCUUUCACCUUACCCUACGCUUGAAUCUCGAGACGAGAUUCUUGUUUAGUGGGGGUGAGUUGUCACAUCCCUAGCUUCUGGUAAUGCUCUAGGCUAGCUCAUGUGUGCAUCAUGUUUAAAUUCAAAUGAAAUUUGAAUUGAGGAAUUUUCAAAGCCUCAGAAACCUCUAAAAAUAACCAACAAUUAAAUCUUCUCAAAUGUGUCUAAGAAAAUGUUCCUGAUAUCCUCUGGAAAUAUUGGCAAGAGGUAAAAUCCAAACCAAUAUUUUUGGUGUCUCAGAAACAUCUAAUUUGGGCAUUUGAAUUAAAUCAAUAAUUAUUUGAAUUGGAUUUAUAUCUACUAUUAAAUAAAUAUAGGUCCAAUAAUUCUGAAAAUAUUUUGUGGAGCAUUGUUUUAAUUCUUUUAGCUCCUAAAAAUAUUGUUAGAAGCAAAAUAAAUUGAAUUGGUUUCAAAACCAAAUUCAAAACAAACCUGCAAAAUAGAAAACUGAAAUAAUUAGAAAAAGACAGAGAGAGAAGAGAAACCUUACCUGGCGCCACCACCGGCCCAGUUCCCCCAGCCGGCCCAGCCCACCUCCUCCUCCUUUGUCCUCUUCCUCCUCUGCCAGGAGGACGAGCAGAGGCGAGGCGUGGCGCUCGCCGACGCUGCCUCGGCCACCUCCUGCUUCCCCCCCUAGCCACCUCCUACUUCCUCUCGUUGCCCUGGAUCCCGUCCGCGACGCCACGCACCCCCCCCCAGGCCUCUCACUCUCUCCCCGAGCUCCUCUCCUCCUCUGGCUCUCUCGCGCGCAGCCACCAAACGGAGCCGCCGCCACCGACGCCGAUUGCCGCGGCCACCGUGCUCCCCACGCCUCACCGACGCCCCAGGGAGCUCCGCCUCGACCCCCUCCUUCCUCCCCACCGACCCACGGCCCUCCGGAAGCCCUGCAACGCCGUCACCAUCGCCGUUCCGUCGCCGGCCACCGAAGCUCNNNNNNNNNNNNNNNNNNNNNNNNNNNNNNNNNNNNNNNNNNNNNNNNNNNNNNNNNNNNNNNNNNNNNNNNNNNNNNNNNNNNNNNNNNNNNNNNNNNNNNNNNNNNNNNNNNNNNNNNNNNNNNNNNNNNNNNNNNNNNNNNNNNNNNNNNNNNNNNNNNNNNNNNNNNNNNNNNNNNNNNNNNNNNNNNNNNNNNNNNNNNNNNNNNNNNNNNNNNNNNNNNNNNNNNNNNNNNNNNNNNNNNNNNNNNNNNNNNNNNNNNNNNNNNNNNNNNNNNNNNNNNNNNNNNNNNNNNNNNNNNNNNNNNNNNNNNNNNNNNNNNNNNNNNNNNNNNNNNNNNNNNNNNNNNNNNNNNNNNNNNNNNNNNNNNNNNNNNNNNNNNNNNNNNNNNNNNNNNNNNNNNNNNNNNNNNNNNNNNNNNNNNNNNNNNNNNNNNNNNNNNNNNNNNNNNNNNNNNNNNNNNNNNNNNNNNNNNNNNNNNNNNNNNNNNNNNNNNNNNNNNNNNNNNNNNNNNNNNNNNNNNNNNNNNNNNNNNNNNNNNNNNNNNNNNNNNNNNNNNNNNNNNNNNNNNNNNNNNNNNNNNNNNNNNNNNNNNNNNNNNNNNNNNNNNNNNNNNNNNNNNNNNNNNNNNNNNNNNNNNNNNNNNNNNNNNNNNNNNNNNNNNNNNNNNNNNNNNNNNNNNNNNNNNNNNNNNNNNNNNNNNNNNNNNNNNNNNNNNNNNNNNNNNNNNNNNNNNNNNNNNNNNNNNNNNNNNNNNNNNNNNNNNNNNNNNNNNNNNNNNNNNNNNNNNNNNNNNNNNNNNNNNNNNNNNNNNNNNNNNNNNNNNNNNNNNNNNNNNNNNNNNNNNNNNNNNNNNNNNNNNNNNNNNNNNNNNNNNNNNNNNNNNNNNNNNNNNNNNNNNNNNNNNNNNNNNNNNNNNNNNNNNNNNNNNNNNNNNNNNNNNNNNNNNNNNNNNNNNNNNNNNNNNNNNNNNNNNNNNNNNNNNNNNNNNNNNNNNNNNNNNNNNNNNNNNNNNNNNNNNNNNNNNNNNNNNNNNNNNNNNNNNNNNNNNNNNNNNNNNNNNNNNNNNNNNNNNNNNNNNNNNNNNNNNNNNNNNNNNNNNNNNNNNNNNNNNNNNNNNNNNNCCCCCCCUGUUAACCUGUGACGCUGACAUAUGGGUCCCACAGGUCAGGUUUGACCUGGAGGCGCCCUGUUGACCUGCUGACGUCAAGGUGAUGUCAUGCUGACGCAUUAAAUGAUUUUCUGGAUUUAAAAUAAAUCAGAAAAUUCCAGAAAAUUGUAUAAACUUCUAAAAUUCAUAGAAAAUUAACCGUAACUCCAAAUUAAAUAAAUUAUAUAUGAAAAAUUAUCAGAAAAAUUCAAGGAAUCCAUCUGUACCAUUUUCAUGCAUGUUAGAACAACUUAUCACUACUGUUUAGGGCAAAUGAAGUGAAUGGCAUUUGAAUAAUCACAUAUGGAGUUUGAAUUUGAAUUUUAUAUUCAAACCAACUUCAUUUAAUCUGUUGCUAGUUGCAUUAGCUCAAAACACAUUCAUAUUGCCAUGUCAUAGCAUGCAUCAUAUUGUGCAUUGCAUUGAUUGUGUUUCCUUCUGUGUUGUCGGUAUUUGUCCCCUCUCGAUAGACGUGAUACCGAUGACGUGAUCGUUGACACUGAUGAAGACUCAAUGUUAUCUUCAGAAGUGCCAGGCAAGCAAAACCCCCUUGUUCAUUCCGAUACAAUCCUACUCUCUCGCUCCUGCUCUCUUUUACUGCAUUAGGACAACACCGAUUCAUCUGUUACUUGCUGCGGUAGCUGAACCCCUUUAUCCUUUGCAUGACCUGUCAUUGCCACAGUAAAUAGAUGAAACCCACUAGCAUGAGUAGGAGUUGUUUGAGCCCUAUCGUGCCUACUCAUUCAUGUUUGUUUGUCAUGCCUGCUACUGCUUAGAGUUGAGUCAGGUCUGAUUCAUCGGGGAUGAAUCAGAGGCGGGUGAACAUGUCCUACUGUGUGUGAGCUAAGUGUGUGAACACGAUUUGGUAAAAGGUGUCGGUGAGAGGCCAUGUAGGAGUACAUGGUGGGUUGUCUCAUUGAAGCCUUCCUCAGGAACUGAGUUCUGUGUUUGUGAUCCAUGAUUCAGCUACUACCAUACAUUGGGCCCUGAAAUAUGACCCCGCUCGACUUCUUAUUCACCCUUGUUCUCUGUCCAGGAGUUGCAAGUAGUUUCUGGUGUUUGUAGUAUGCUGGAGGCCGUGGACAGCGCUGACCGUAGGGGUGGGCUGUGAUGCGGUAUGCACGUGGCACGGUGUACCGGGCGCCCGUUUGGUGUCUCGGGAACCCUGUUCACAUCGUUUGGGGCUGUGAGCGAAACUCCGGCCGGAUCUCCUCAUGGAUGGAACCCGAAUAGGCGAUAAACCUGGACUAGAGACUUGAGUGUUUAGGUAGGUCGUGGUCUACACCCACGUCGGCUUUCGCUUGAAGUCUGCCGAGCACAUGUCGUGUGCAGACGCUAAGUGGUGGAAACAUGUAUGAAGAAGUACACCCCUGCAGGGUUAACAUCAUCUAUUCGAAUAGCCGUGUCCGCGGAAAAGGACUUCUGGGUUGCUUAUAUCAGUUCAUAGACAAGUGAAAGUGGAUACUCUAAAAUACGCAAGAUAAGCGUGAGUGCUAUGGAUGGCGUUCUCGUAGGGAGACGGGAGCGGUUCCAUAGUGGUGUAUUGGUUGGUGAAUAUGUGGACUCGUGUGCGCCACCUCAAAAGAGUUACAUUGCAGUCGUAGUUCAGGAUAGCCACCGAGUCAAAGCUGGCUUGCUGCAGUCAAACUCCACCAUCCCCUUUGUUGAUAAUGAUGCAUGUGUAGAUAGAUCUGAUGUAAGUCUUGCUGGGUACAUUUGUACUCACGUUUGCCUAUUUUAUGUUUUGCAGAGAGACUUCAGUCUCACUAGUAUUUCCGCGUGGUCUUCGACGUUUAGCUUGUUACCUCAGCUACGAUCUUGUGCCCUCGGCAGGAUCUGAUAGAUAGUCAGGCUUCUCAGCCUUUUUCAUUUAUAGAUGUCUGUACUCAAACAUGAUAGCUUCCGCUUGUGCUUUGACUUGUAUGCUCUGAUUGUUGGGUCAUGAGACCCAUGUUUGUAAUGUCUCGCUCCUCGGAGCCUAUUGAAUAAACUACUUGAGUCGUAGAGUCAUUUUGUGAUGCCAUGUUGUAUUGCACAUAUCGAGCAUAUUGUGUGUAUGUUAUUGAAAUGCUUGGUAUGUGUGGGAUCUGACCAUCUAGUUGUUUAUCUUUAGUAGCCUCUCUUACCAGGAAAUGUCUCCUAGUGUUUCCACUGAGCCAUGGUAGCUUGCUACUGCUCCGGAACAUUUAGGCUGGCCGGCAUGUGUCCUUCUUCGUUCCUGUGUCUGUCCCUUCGGGGAAAUGUCACGCGGUGAAUACCGGAGUCCUGUUAGCCCGCUACAGCCCGGUUCACCGGAGUCCUGCUAGCCCAGUGCUACAGCCUGGAUUCACUCGCUGAUGACCGACACGUUCGAUGCUGGGUCAUGGAUGCCUGUCCCUGUAAGUCUGUGCCGCUUUGGGUUUACGACUAGCCAUGUCAGCCCGGGCUCCUUAUCAUAUGGAUGCUAGCGACACUGUCAUAUACGUGUGCCAAAAGGCGCAAACGGUCCCGGGCAAAGGUAAGGCGACACACGUGGGAAUACCGUGCGUGAGGCCGCAAAGUGAUAUGAGGUGUUACAUGCUAGAUCGAUGUGGCAUUGAGUCGGGGUCCUGACAGAAGAAUUCUAUCAAGAGUCCUUGGGGUGAUAUUCUCUAUCGAGGCCUUCCCCCCAAGAACAAAGCUGAAGCCAUUGCACAAGAAUUCUAUCCUUGUAUGGUCCAUGGACCACAACCUGAAGAUGCCGACCCAUAAUCAUUGCUCUGGUGUCGUGACGACAAUCUCUUCAAGCGCAACUUCCAGUAUGAAAAGGCUUCGGCAAAGGAAAACAAGAAGUUAUGGGGAUUAGACUUCAAUCCUGGUCCCUCUGCUCCCCGUGAUGAUGGCACACGUAAAGUGGAAGAAAAUAGAAUCGGCCCAUUUUCAAACGUUGAUGGCCUAAUCUCAUACGUCUUGGUACAAGGUGCCAAAAUGGAUCAUUCUCAUAAUGAUGCUGAUUCUGAUGAAGCCCCAGCUCCUCCUCCAAGGCCGCGGAAGCCAAAGAAAAUUAAGGCUUCAACAUCAGCUGCACCUCCAAAAGCUUCUCGUGUGAAGCCACUGGCCACUGCACCUCCUGAAGACAGUGUGCAGUUUGAAGAUCUUUCACGCAUCUCCAAGAAGAAAGAGAAGAAAAAUAAAAUCAUCAAGAGUACUGAUCAGACUCUGACUCCUGCUGCCAUUCUGCGUGAAGAGCACAUUGAUCUGUCCAGCGAUGACGAUCUUGCAGAUGAUGCUCUUGAGCAACUGAUCAAGAGCAAGGAAGAAGCUGAGAUCUUUAACAACUUGCCUCUCUUUGACGUGGCAAUCAUCCAUAACUUCAUUGAUGAGUGGUUUGACACACCAAAUCUCAGCUUUGAUGACUUGCAACUUCCCAUUGGCCUCAGCGCCGCCUUCAAUGGCGCCAUUGCUUCUGAGCUAGCUAUUGCUCAGCGCAUCGUCGAACUGAAGCACAAGAUUGACUAUGAAAAGGCUCAGUUCAAGAAGCAUGUGGCCACGCUCAACGUGCAAGAUGUCAAAAACUUCAAGAUCAUGCUGCACGAGCUCAAAGAAGCCUUUCACAAGAAGCGUGAAGAAGCUCGAGGCUCUAGAGAGCGCAUGAAGGGUCUGGCUGACAAGUGUGUGCUUGCCUACAAUGAGGCAGAGAAGCACAAGGCUCUUGGUCGUCCUGGCAUCGACCCCAGGAUGGCUGCAAAGAAGAAGAAAACGACUGUCCAAUCUGCACCUUCAAGGCAAGAUGAACCUCGCAUUGUCUUCCCAAGCAGCAUGACUGGCUCGAAGCCAAUAGUCACGUCAACCGCUUUAGAACAGAAGAAGAUGAGGGCUGCAGAGGCUGAAGCCAGAAAACAGAAAACCUCAGAAGCCUCUGAUGCUGCUCCCUCCAAGAAGAAGCGCAAGACCAAGAAAAAUCGGGCUGCUCCCACAGAGCCCCUUGUUGUUGAACCCAUCUUAGUGGUUCGUCCUGCAUCUGCAACCCAAGAACUACGAAUGACUAUUCAUGAGCCUGCUUCCACAGAGGCUCCUGAAGCUUAAGAGAUUCCAACAGUUGAUCCAUUCACUGCUGAAGACAUUGGUCACCAUGACAAUGUUGAAGAUGAUGAAGUUCUUCCUCAAAUUGAAUACAAUGUGGUAUCAUCGCCUGUUCAUACGAACAGCGAAAUCAUCAGCAUUGGUCGUCGUCUAACACCAAUUGCUCAGGAUGCAUCAUGGGUUGAUCGCCCGCAACAACAAGACUCCCCUAGUACUCCCCAACAACAACAAGUCACACCAUCCGUGCAAGUUGAAGAGGAUGAGGACCUGCCUACUCCAUCUCCAAAGUCGUCGCCUGUAUUACAAAGGCUUCGUAAAGGACCAAGGCCUCAAGUCCCUCUUCCGAGCAUUCCUGAAGGAGAAGUGCACCAUCAACCUGUUGUACGUCAAGUGUUUUCAGAAGCCACUCCAACUGUGAAUGUCUCCAUGUCUGAAGCCCCAGCGGCUGAAGACAAUCCGGCUGCAUCAACCGAUGUUCAAGAAGAACGUGUCCCUACUCCCCCCAUUGCUAAAGAAGUUGUUCAUGAAGUGAACGUAUCUGUGCCUGACCCUCCAGCUCAUCAAGUGGAGAUUGAAAACCUUGAGGCUGCCACCACCAACACCAAUGAAGCCAAUGACAUAGUCAAUGCUGAAAAUGCUCCUGAAGCUUCUGAUGUGCAGCCCGAAGCCACUGUUGCUGCCACUGCUCCUGUUCUGCCACCAAGGCCCUAUACAAUUGAGCAAGCAUACAACCAUGGCGAGCUAAUCACAGUAAGAUGGACCGUUCUGGUCCCUCCGCCUAAUGUCUCUGGUCCUCAGUUUGACUAUCACAUUGAGCAUAGGCCUCAGGUCCAGAAGCCAAAGCCAAGACUGCCAAGGUUUCCUGGUACUGCCACAUCUGUCGGCUCGUUCAAUGCAAAUGGCUUCAAAAGCUACAACACAUUCUUUGACAGCUCAAAGAACCCCUACACAAGGCCAAGAAUAUCAUCAGAUCGUUUCUGGAGUCAUCAGCAACGAAGCUAUUACUCAUGUGUUCUGUAUGAUCAAGGGCACAUUUUCCCUCAUAUGCGCCUCGACACUGAAGCCAUUGCUGGACUGCCAUGCUUAGAAGAAGCACUUGACUGCUUUCGUGAUGCUGGUCUGCUCAGCUUUGUGACAAACAAAGAACAUUGGAAUGAAGAACUACUGCUUCAAUUCUAUGCUACGCUCCACAUUCGCGGUUAUAACAGAGAUACAAAGACAUGGGUUCUCGAGUGGAUGACAGGAAAUGUUCAUCAUGAAGCCAAAGCUCUUGACAUCAUUGAGCUUACAGGUCUAUCCACUCCCGGAGAGCUAUAUGAACCUGGUUGUCAAAACCACCACAAUGCACUGGAGAGCAUCUUCCAUAAACCAGAACCAAACAUGAGCCAGAUGUUGAGCAUGAUGAAGCCUUUGCCACAUGAUGCUGAAUAUCUAAAGGAGUUCUUUGUUGAUGACCUUGAGUAUCUGCCGCGCAACAUAUAUCACAUCAUCAGGCAGACUCUAUGGCCGAUCAAAGGACAUUCAUCAGCUGCAAAACUUGAAGCAGCCAUGAAGACAUUGGUCUUUUACAUCCUCAAUGGCAUCAGCUUCAAUGCAUAAGAUUUCUUCCUUCGGCAACUGGCUGCAUCUGGAUCUGAACUUUUCAGACUAAAAUUCUAUGCUCCAUGGGUCAUGCGCCUCAUCAAGCAACAUUCUGCUAUCAACUAUCAACCCUCUGCUCGCAAUCAUGUGAUCUUUCUACCAGAGGUUGAUAUGUCAGUUGAGGCCAUAUACCCUGAACCUGCCAAGAAGCCUCUUAGUCUUCAAAAUGAUGAACACCAAAGCUUCACUCAGCCUAUGGAAGGAGUCCAAGCCGUAACUCGUGUCUAUCCAAUGGCUGGAAACACUUGUCUACCUCAUCAUGCGCCAACUGAAGCUACUGACAGCACAAUUGCUCAAAGGCCUCAGAAGCGCUCUCGGGUCCUAAAUGACCGAGAACUUCUAGUGGCCCUGCAUCAGAAACAAGAUAAGCAUCAUUUUUGGCUCAAGCGUCAGAUGCAAAGCCUCUUGGUGGAUGUAAAUCGCAUUCGAAACCUUGCCACCAAGAAUGCAUUUGUCACUCACGAAACUUGUCGGCGAUCAUGGAAGAGUUUGACCCUGCUCAGUGCUGAAGCAGAUCUUCAAGACGAUGGCUUCACUGAAAGAUUCAAGUUUGACUCCACUCCUCCAUGGAAUGUUGUCCUACGAAGAACUCCAUCUCUUGAAGACUCUGACUAUUCUUCCUCCACGGCAACUGUGCAUGCAAAUAUGAUCGAUGAUGAAGAUGAUGCUACCUCCUAUGUCUGCACGCAUCGACACUGCACCAAGUUCGUCUGCACCGCCAAACAACAAUGAUAACCCUACUGCUUCACCUACUCCUCAUGAGGACGAGUAGAUGCUCUAUGUCUUCAAACCUUUUUGGUCAUUACUAACAAAAGGGGGAGAAGCAUAUGAGUUGAUAGUCUUCAAGCGGGUUCAUAAGGGCGGUUGCUUUAUAUUUUUGCCUAGUGCUUACAACUCUUGCAUUUGAUACACUUCGUUCUUUGAGUUGUAACACUUAAACUUGAUGGUCGUCUGCUACUUAUUUGCGUUUCCACGUGCGAUGAUAACUUCCGCACUUAGAUCACUCUGCAGACGUCCAUUUUUCAUUAUGCAUGUCAUUCUCUUAGUUAUAUCAUUUCGUGCAUGAUGAAUUAUCUUCAUAAGUUGAAGAGGAUCUCCACAAGUACAAACUGCCAUGUGCAUUUGCAUUCCAAAAGCAAAUUAUUUAUAUGCACAUCUUCAAGGGGAGCCCUUGCCACUUAUGAAGACAAUACCCUAUCCUUUACAAUUUCACAUACUUCUUUCCCGUUGAAAACUUCAACCAGUUUGUCAUCAAUCACAAAAAAGGGGGAGAUUGUAAGUGCACCUAGUGCCACCCCUAGUUGGUUUUGGAGUAUUGACGACAGAGUUGGUUGAGGGACUAAUGCAUUUGUGAGAAUUGCAGGAUAACGCAGGAAGUGUCCCUCAUUGAUUCGGUUUACCUACCGGAGAUGAACCCUAAAAAUGUAUGAAGACAUUGAAGACAAUGGUGGUGUGUGAAGAUAUUCACACUGAAUACUAUGACAUGAGAAGACAUUGAGUGAAGACUAUGGAGCUUGAAGACUGAGUUGUUUCGUUGUUUCCUUUUCUUCUUUGUUGAGUCAUAGGAACCACCGUACUGUUAAGUGGGGUCCAAGUGAACAAAGUCAGAGUGACUGAAGUGAUGCUCAACCCAAAUCCUAUAUCUUCGAGCGAAGAUAAUGAGAGCAAAUCUUAUCCAGAGCUGGAUGAGUCAGAUUUGCUUCUAGCCCAAGUAAAGUUGUCGUGUGUGUUUGAAAUCUGACCGUUGGAACACAUGUCAGUUCCUUAGUGAACCAGGUUCAUUUCGGACAUAUCAUGUCGGGUUGCCUUGUGGCUAUAAAUAGCCCACCCCCUACACCAUAAAUUGGUGGCUGCUCAGAGUUAGUUUACGAAUUUUGUCGUUUUGAGAGCAACCCACCUCGAAGCCUUUGAGAGAGAAAUCCUUGCGAGGACAAAGCCCAAACACCCAGAGCCAAAGAGUGUUAGGCAUCACUGAAGUAUUUUUGUCUGUGUGACCUGAAGACUUAUUACACUUGAGGACUGUGUAUCCUCCAGCCGGUUAGGCGUCGCAUUCUGAGCAUCCAAGAGUAAUUGUGGAUUGCCGGUGAACGAAGUCUGUGAAGGUUCGGAAGUCUACCUUGAAGACUUACCAGAGUGAUUGGGCGAGGACUGUGUGUCCUUAGCUCAAGGGGAAUAAGGUGAAGACGCGGUCUUCUGAGUUGAAUCUCAGCCUCCCUAACCAGACGUACAGUUGUCACAGCAACUGGAACUGGUCCAAUAAAUCCUGUGUCUUCAACAAGUGACUGGUUCUAUCCCUUCCCUCCUUUACUUUGAGUUUGUCUUCGUGAAGUCAUUGCUUAAUUGCCUUAUCUGUUUGACUUCAUUGCUUGACUACUUUCGUUGAUUGGCUUCGUACUAUCUUCCAUCCCGAUCCUUACUACCUAGCUGCUAUUAGUCUUUGUACAUUCACAUUAUUGCAUACUUGACUAUGGCUUGCUUGUUGUAGUUUAUCUUCCGCUGCAUAUCAAGGUCAUUUCUAUUGUUUGUCUUCGAAACUUCCACGUUUUGAAGACUUUGAUAAAAAUCGCCUAUUCACCCCCCUCUAGUCGAUAACUAGCACUUUCAGGUACCACACCCAACCGGUGUUCGAUCAAAUCCCAUUGAGCUUAUUUUUGAACUUCAUGUCAUUUUUUAAAGAAAGGUAGCGGUGUACUCGAUGAAGGAGGAUGAGUUGUUGUGUGACGCGUAGUUGGCCGUAUCUACUGAAUUCGUAGGCAGGAACAGAAGAGGGUGGAGGGUCUCUUGGAAGCACGUGCGUGGUUUGUUUCACGCGUGAAAGCACAUUGCGCCCUACGACAUGCACAUCAUCCAUGAAUGCAAUGUCAAGUCAUUAGCGUAUCGAUGGUACACCAUUCUGAACUCCGUCAUGAAGUUUUGUGCCACAAUUGAUCAACUGGAGAAAAUGUGGCCAUUGCGCACGGUAACCAUGGAAAUGAUAAGUUUUGUUUCUUCUUGCUCCACAUGUUGAUUGAUUCUAUCAUCCAUGCAAUAUUAUUGUGCAUGUUGUGUAGCAUGCAUGCGCUAUCAUGAUAUACUACACGUCAGAGGGCAGACCAUUCACACCCAUACACUGUUGGAUGAAGCUCAAGUGGCAGUAUGUGCGGGGCAACAUGAUCCAUCCAUGAAGAACUUGUUAGUUAAUCUCGUUGAAUUUGAACUAUUGGUGUAAAAGACAUAUUUGCAUGCUAUUUAUGGACGAUUUGUGUUAUCUUCUAUCCAAAUUUUGCUGAAUUCCAUAGUGUUUGAUGAAAACUGUCUGGUUAGUUGAAAUAUAGUUUGAAAUGUAUGCGGCUAAGGUUGGAUGUUAGCCCCAGCAUCAAUGUCCAUGGAAUAGUCCCCGGUCCGCAGACGGAUGUCGUGUUCAGUUUGGAGCUCAAUGUUGAAGAUGCCCUGAUAUUUGGACCGGACAAUCACAAUUUUUCCCCAUCAUGCCGGCCUAUACAAAGCCAUUUCUUUUCUGGAUCAUCCCUUAGAGCAUCUACAACCGGAAUUGCGUAAUUCGGGUCCCUAUAUGGUCGCGGACAUGCCGGAAUGCAGUUGCAGACAACGUCAGGCAGGUCCUCUUUUGGCCCUCUCCACAACCACACUCCCCAAAUCUCGAUACCCAAAUCCAUGCAAAUCCUUGCACAACGAUCAUAUAAUGCAAAUUCAUCAUACAUUCAAUGAUACAAAUAUAUUGUAGCCCAAUCAAAUUCAGUACAUGCCAAAAUAAAAUUCAAUAGUUCAUACAUAGAUAAACGAUACAAGAAUGAAUCAAUGACUUCAAUCCUCAUGGUCAUUGAUCCUCUUCUUCAUGCGGGGCAGACACUUCUUCCCUUCUAGAUCAAAGAGGUUGAUGUCCUGCAUCACGAUCCUCGACUCUUCUAUCUCUCUCUCGCAUGCGCAACCUCUCUUUAUCGAGCUCAAGAUCACACAUUGUCACCGUUUGCUUAAGCUCCCAUUUUGCAACAUUAUUUCGCUUCUCCAUAUCCACCUUCUCCCGCUCCAAGGCCAAUCUCUGUCGGUCGAACUCCAUCUUCUCCAUUUGCACAUCAAUGAACAUCUUGUGCCUCUCCUCCUUCUUCACCUCCUUGGCAUAAAAACUGCCCGUCCAAGUGGCACAUAUUUUGUUUAUUGCACCUUCACGCGCUACCUUUCCUUCUCCUAGUUAUUCCCCAUCACUUGCUAGUUUAUUUUUUGCAUGAUUGGUUGUAUUUUGAACGCAACAUUUUCUUCUUCCCCUUCCGCGUCCACUCCAAUUGAUUGAGCCGAGCUCGACUAUUUUAUUCUUCAUCAUCUUCAUGUCGUUCUGAGUUUCCUUGAGGACGGUAUGCUACUUGGGUCUCCUAUUCAAUUUCAUCCAACGAUGAGAAAAAGUGAAUGGUUUCUUCUCCACUUGAUGGUACAAAGCCUCUGCCAAAGAUGCAUGGUUUUGAACUCUAUUGUUGCUUUGGUUUCGGCCUAAAACUUGUUUGAGAUAGCCAACAAAUUUGCUAAAGGCCUCUUGCAUGAACGACCUUCAAUGUUGAAGAGAACAUGUGACACGGUUGAUGCAUAUUGGGUGUGGUUGCACAUAGUGUUUUUGCUCAUGAUAAAGUUUCCAAAUUUUCUCCCAAUAUUUCUUGCCAUUUUGCUCGGUUCAACAAAUCAGAUCCAUUCUAGUGUUACACCAACUUUCACAUAACAAAAUAUGUUCCAAUUAUGUGAAUACCGGACCCCUCGGCUUGUAAACUUUGGCAGCUUUCUUCUUCUUUUUAGUGUGUGAUGUUCGCCCAACUUCAAAUACCGAGGAAUUGGUAUCCUCCAUGGUGAAUUGCAAAGACUCUUGACCAUGAUUUAUCAUAUCAUGCAAUAUUUAUUCCUAGAAUAUGCAUUACAAUUUAACCAUUUUACUACUAAUACGAUCUGAUAAUAUGUGCAACAAAAGGAACUAUGGAUGCAAAUCUGAAAACGGUCAAAAUUUAUACCCAGUCUUGGGCGGGCUUUCCUUCGAACAUGUAGUGGGCAGAACAAGCACCUACAUUGCCUGAGGACGCCCGAUGCACUUCGAGCUCCGACGAGUCCGCCAUCAUGUCCUCGUUGGGGACGGCUUGAGAAAAUCUCAAAUCCGGGAUGACCUUCCACUGGGAGGGCAUGAUGCAGUCGGGCAACAGCGACAAAUACAUUGUCUUUGUAGCCACGACCGACAGAUUGGGGAGGGUCGCGUCCAUGUCCUAUGCAGUAGCCUUCACCGCCAACAAGGUCGCGUCCGCAACUUCCUACACAACCGCUAUCUUCUCUGCCGCCUCAUGCUCGCGCUGCCUCCGGUGGCGCUCCUUCCGGGCAAGGUUCUCCGUCGUGCAAAGAUCCAAAGCCAGGCUGGGAACCCCGACUAAUUCUGUCGAGGCAUCAUCUGUGACCAUGGAGGCGGACAGGACCGUCGGCAAUGACAUGAAGGACGGCGGGCAGGGAUGGCUAGCAAGAAGGUGGUGGACGGCUGCGUGGCGGCGGGAGAAAUGGAGGAUGGAGGUAGGAGGAAUUUGGUCGAUGAAGAGAAGUACUCAAAUUGGUUCUGAUUUGGGAUGGGUCCACCUUGACAGAGCCGACGUGGCAGGCGUGCCCGGGCAUGUCCGGGCCUCCCCAUAUCUGCUCCAAAUAUGGGCCGGAUAUGGGGAGUGCCAGUCAGUCCAAACGUUUGGGCCAGCUAUUGGGCGCCCGGUUGGAUGGCGUUUUUAUGUCCGCUGACCGAGCAGACCAGACUGGCUCACGUUUGCAUGCAUGCAUAGUUACCAAUAAACAAAUACUCCAAUCCGUUCUUAAAUAUAAGUCUUUUUAGAAAUUUUAACACCAAUGCGACGUUUGUGCUCCUGAGCUCAUCUGCACCUGCCUUGACGAAAAAAAUCAAAACAAAAACUAAAAAAAUUCAAGGCAUUCCAAAUUUUUUUUGUGGUAAAUAAGUUUAUGCGUGAGGUGCACUCCAACUUUCAACUCAUUUGGACAUCUGAGCAACUCUCAGCAAAAAAGACAAAUUUAGGGUCUAAAAAAAAGUUUACUGUUCACAGACUGUUCUAACCCGAUUUGUUUCUUUUUUGCUGAGAGCUUCUCAAAUGUCCAAAUAAGUUGAAAUUUAGAGCGAAUCUCAUGCAUAAAAUUAUCAAUGACACAAAAAAAUAGAUUUUUUUUAAUUUUUUUAGUAUUUAUUUUGAUUUUUUUCUGACCGGAUGCAGAUGAGCCUGGGCACCGAAUUGAGUUUUUGACUACAUACGAAUGAAUGUUGACGUGUUUUAGUGUAGAUUUACUCAUUUUGCUUCGUACGUGGUUCAUACAAAAUCUCUAAGAAACAUAUAUUUAGGAACCGAGGGAGUACAUAGGACAUGCAGUGCAUGCAUGCAUUCGGCCCAUUUCCAGACAUGAAAUACGUGCAUGCAUUUUGCUCGAACGAUAUGGUUGCGGGGCGUCCCAAAGAAAGACGAAAGGUCUAUUUCCAUACAUGAAAUGCAUGCAGGCAUUUUGCCCGAACCGAUGGUUGCGUGACGUCCCGAAGAAAGACGAAAGGAAGCUUCCUUCGGGUUGCUUGAACGGCUUGCUUGAGGACAUUCUAGAUUAGUUGUAUGAUGAAUCCUAAAGGCCGCGCGCGUCUCUGCCUGCUUUUUGGCAGAAGCCAGGGUGAAGUUUUUUGCUUUUUGAUUUGUUUAUUAUCUGACCGGCAUCUCGCCCUGUGUGCGCCUUGCGUUUCCUCCUUGUCUCACUCACAUCGCGUGCUCCACUCCAGUCACACGUGCUCUACAGGACCACUCUCUUCAUCCUACAAUAAGUGUGUCAAUUUUGUACUUUUUUACAAAGUUAUGCCUCCUUUGGUUUGGAGGAAUUUCAUAGGAAUUCUAGAGGAUAGGAUUCUCAUAGGAUUUUUUUCCUUAAGAGCUCUUUGGUUCAUAGGAAUGGAUUUCUAUUCCUAUAUAGGAUUGGUUCCUAUCCUCCACAUUUUAUAGGAAAAUAAAAAUGAGCCUAGACUCAAUGGAAAAAUUCCUUUGAUGUGAACCAAAUGACAUCUCAUUUCCUAUUCCUGCUCAUAGGAUUUGAGAUACAUGUCAUCUCAUUUCCUACAAAUUUCCUAUUCCUACGAUAAUCCUAUCCUAUGAACCAAAAGAGGCCUUAGUACAAAGUUAAGACAUUUAUUCUAAGACAGUGGGAGUAUAUAUUUUUACCGUCCAGCCUGGUAACGCGGGGUCCAUUCACGCUUGAGUACAAGUUUGGACAAGAUAAAUUGACCGAAAUUUUCUAAUUGAUAAUCUAAUUCUUUAUUCCAAACAUUAUUUUGUUAUUGUGUUUGCCAACACCACCCCUGUUCCCCCAACUUCAUACGCAGCGACACGGCAAGAAGAACUCCCGUACCACAAACAUGAUACCGAACUUCAAACGUACAGGGGAAUAAGAACGAUUAGUCUAUGGACAGUGUAGAAAGACAUAGAAAAAAAUGGACGUCAUUUUUAGUCUCUUUUUCCUAUGUGUAGAUUGAAUUUAAAUAUGAAAUUAUGUGGGAGACUGGAGGAGACAUCUUUUGUCAACCUGGUAAAGUUUACUAAAAUAUGGGACAUUGGCCGAGCAUUAGGAGGAGGGUCCAAGCCUAACUAGCUACCAACAAGCCAUGUACAUGGGUUUUUCUUCUACCUUUUUUUAGAUUCUCCAUGUACCAUUAAAUAUAUAGCAAAUUAAAUUACAACAAGAACUCGCGAAAACCACAAGAGAAAAUGAGAGAGGACAGAUGUCUAGAAACAUUUGCAAGAAAACUCCAUUGAAGCGGAUUUUAGCAACCACCAUCCUGACCACUUGCCAUCUUCGGAGAGAAACAAGAACGGUCGCCCCAUGAGGACUUUGUGAGCCGAAAAAGAGGUCCGCCGCCGGCAAGGCCACUGUCGAUAUGGCACGCCGAUCGGGAUCAUCCUCAUGCUCCUUGCAACCUGGAUCCGCCACAUGUCGUGGACGUAGAAUGCUGGAACCGCCACCCACUAGCCUCCAACUUUGUUAUUGGACCUUCAUUGUUCCCCAACAAGAAGAAGACACCACAUGAGACAGAAUCAGCCGCAGACACAAACAAACACCACGAGAUCCAUCACACCAAGGAAACGAUGGAGUAAGGUACCGACUGAUCCCUCGAGUUCACCACUAGGGGCGUCGUCGAGAUGGGUUGACAUCGGGGAAAAUUUAUUCCAAAAGCCGUUGUCACCUCUAUCCUUUCAUCGUCACACUAAUCCUAACACCAUAGCUACAGGAAAUCAGAGAGCCCAGGUUUCCUUACCCUUCCAUCGUCGAACCGGAGACCAGGGCGGAAAAGAACCCAUAGCCUCAUCAGCAGAGCGAGGGAAGGUUCGUCGUCUCCCUAAUUGCCUUCUUUCCAAGACCAGAGGGAGCAAACCGGUUAGUAAAUUGCAAGCCAUUGAAAUAUCUCGAUCCUCAAAGAAAAAUUGAAGAAGCAUGGCCACGACUAUGACCAUCAUUAUUCCCUACUAGAGGACAGUUGACAUGGCAACACCUAUAUCAUAGAGUAACGACAAGACAAUACCGUUUACCGCUGCGUUACAUCAUAGAGAGUAACGACAAACCAAUACACAUGAAAGACAAUUUUUGGACCCCAUUUCUAGUUAGGCUUGUCUCUUUUUCAUAUGUGUAGAUCGAAUUUAAAUAUGAAUUCCGUGGGACUCUAGGAACAUCUUUCGUCAACCUACACUAUAAAAAAAUGAGAUCAAGCANNNNNNNNNNNNNNNNNNNNNNNNNNNNNNNNNNNNNNNNNNNNNNNNNNNNNNNNNNNNNNNNNNNNNNNNNNNNNNNNNNNNNNNNNNNNNNNNNNNNNNNNNNNNNNNNNNNNNNNNNNNNNNNNNNNNNNNNNNNNNNNNNNNNNNNNNNNNNNNNNNNNNNNNNNNNNNNNNNNNNNNNNNNNNNNNNNNNNNNNNNNNNNNNNNNNNNNNNNNNNNNNNNNNNNNNNNNNNNNNNNNNNNNNNNNNNNNNNNNNNNNNNNNNNNNNNNNNNNNNNNNNNNNNNNNNNNNGUCCGCCCCCCAACACACAUCGUCGUCGAGAUGGGCUUGGCCUGCGGUUGAAUUGAGUAGGGGCCAAGCCAAACUGGUAGCCAACAAGCCAUGUGCAUGGGGUUUUCAUAUACCUUGCCAACAUUGGGAGCCAUCGAAAUAACUUGGCCCUCAAAGAAAAAUCGCAGAGAAGCAUGGGCACCACGGCUAUGUCCAUCAUUAUUCCCUGCCAGUGGACGUUGAAAUGGUAACACCUAUAUGAGUAACGAUGGACCCAUACCGGUUACCAUUAAUAAAAAACGUCGUCAAUAAUUCUUAGCCAUGAACAUGCAUAGCUUAAAUGUCGGUUGGUUGCGUUCCCAUUAGCGAGCAAAAACGCUCAUCGUACCAUUUUAUUUCUCUUAUGGAUAUGUAACGUCAUAACAAUUAUGUAUCCAUCAGAUUAUACUCUAGAUAGAUACACAACAGUACCCGUCAAGAACAAGUCACACGUAAUGAUUUGUCGCUUUCAUGGAUCGUGGUUGCGAUUUAGCCGACACAAAAAGAACAAGUUACAUAUUCUAAUUUGUGUCAUUUUUGUAGAUCCCGAAGGCCUAUAACGAUCCACUCAUUUUUCGAUACACAUGUAACUGUAUUGGACAAAGAAUCGACAAGAUCAACGACACUUUUGCAUGAAUCUUUAGUAUGAAUCUAAUCAAAUUAUCCAUUUGUGAUAUUGGAUGCUUAUCAUACAAAUUUGGUGUGGUAAAGAUUUGGCACUCAUUUGUAAUUAACUAUGAAGUCCAAAAACUUGUGCUUCUGGAAUAGAUUAAAAAAACUGAAAUAAUUAUUUGUGUUGAGUUUUAUCUAAAAUUUAUCUGAAAAUAAUUAAAACUUUUACAUGCACAUCAAAUAAUUGAUUAAAUAGAAAUUGAUUGAAAUUCCAGACAAAUAAUUAUUUGUAUCAAAUGAGCUUGCCUAUGGCACUGUACCACUAACAAUGCAAAUAAAAAUGAGCUAAUGUUUGUGGAAUAUUAAUUGUAAGCCAAGUAUUACUGGUAAAGAUUACGUGAACACCAACGAUGGAAUUCCACUGGAAAAAGUUUCCAUUGGGAUAUCACUGGCAUGAGCCAUUUAUGCGCAUACGGACAUUAGGUACAUUUGGAAGUUUGUAUGGAGCAGCGCCUCACUGUCAGCUGUAACAAACUCGUCAUCCAAACUGGCUCCACCGUUUUUUUUUUUUUGAGAGAGAGUCUGCCCUCCGCCCCACUGUGAUGUACCGAUAGCCCGGGACCCACUGCGCAACAGCUGACCUCCUGAGAACAUCGCUACGCCCGGUCUACAUGGGCUGCCAGAGACAGAAAUGGGAUCCGACGGCCGAUCUUCACCGCUCCCGUGUGCCGCUGUGGAAUAUGUAUACUUGGAACGUCAUAUUCUAGGAAGGUUUCAGGCCGUCGGGUGGAAGUGGGUUAGAUGAUGAACGGCUGGGGCGCCACUUCCUCCUGUAUAUGAUGCGGGUCCCUGGAUCUUCGUCUCGACAGCGACUUGCCUUCUCCCCAGUGUCAGACCCUUCCUCUAUCUCUCUCUCUCUCUCUCGCCGGAUUCCUCCGGAAUUCCACACCCUUCCCAGCUCCUGCCUUGCUUCCGACCUCCCGCCGAGCGGAUGGCGUCGUUGGGGGACAUGCUUUUGAACCAGGAGCUGGCGGCGGAAGAGUAUGGGAGGUUCGAAAGGUACACCCCGAGCUCUGCCCAUGGUUUUUCCCAGUUCCAGCAAGCUGACAGCGCUCCGACCGGAGUCCCCGACACGGGAUCGCUCGUUUCCGGUUUCGGCAUGCCUCCCUCCACCUUCAUCGUGCCGGAGGGUACCCACGCCGCCGCCGGUUAUGGCGCUGAGGCCGUCCCGGUGGAGAUCCCCGUGGUCCAGCGACAAAGAUCUGCCUCCAGGAACCCUCAGGCGCUGCACAGAGGACCGUGGACCGAGGAAGAGGACGAGUACGUGAAACAGAUGGAUCUGAUUCGUUUUUCUAGCAGCUUGAUCUCGCGGAAUGCAUGCUGUUCUGCUUAAUUGAUCAAUGUGCUUCCUUUUUUGCAGACUUCUCAGGAGAUUGGUAGAUGAGCAUGGAGAGCACAAGUGGGCGACCAUUUGCAAGCACCUCCCGGGACGGAUCGGCAAGCAGUGCCGUGAGCGAUGGACAAAUCACCUGCGCCCCGGCAUCAAGGUGAUGCAUGCAUCGCAGCUUAUAGUCUUGAUUUGAUUUUAAUUAGGUGAAAUCUUCCAUGGAUCUAUAUGAUUCGGAAGUCUAAAUUGUUUUAGUUUAGUUUUUACUACGUCCGAAGCAUGCUGAACUUUUGGUCGUACAAUUAGGACAGUGGGUGUUAAGCGAGAGAGGAAGAACAAAUAGUUCGUCAUAUAUGCUGCAUGCUUUUAUUUUAAUCAUUAAGUGCGCCAAUUUCUUCAUCAAUGAGUAAUUCUGUCCGUGGCCCUUAGGAAGAGAUAUGGGGGAGACAAUGGUGAAACAUUAGUUUCUUUUAGAAUUAUUGCAGAUGCACGAGCGUCUGCAAAUCGUGCAAGUUCAGUUUGAAAAUAAUUAUUAAAAUCCCCGCGAAUCUCCUGCCUAUACUCCGCAAACCUAAUCUUUGGAGAAUUAUUAUUUCCGAGUAUGAAUUAAUUGCACUCAUUAGUUUGUACUUGCCAUGAAUUUCACAUGAGUUUCUAAAGUCGUCGUGGGUGUGUGGGUGCGUUGGCUGAUGAAUCGGAUGUGACUCGUGAUGUCAAUGGUGGUACGCCAUAAUCGUAGCAGUAAUAUUUCCAGUAUGAUAUUCAAUUCAAUUACACUUGAUUGUGCCAAUUAUCUCGAGGCAUUAACUUUGCUUCACAUAAUCACAUUCCAGAAGGACCACAUCUGGACUGAGGUGGACGACAUAUUGCUGAUCGACGCACACAAGAUCCACGGAAACCAUUGGUUGACGAUCGCGAGGUACCUCCCCGGCCGGUCGGAGAACGCCGUCAAGAAUCACUGAAACGCUACAAAGCGGAGCCUCAAGUCGAAGCGCCGGUUCAAGAAGAAGACGAGCCAACAGGCCGCUCCGGGCCAGUUCACCUUCCUCGAGGAGUACAUCCGCGACAAAGUGACGGCUGACGAGAACGUGGCGCCACCGUCUCCGUCGUCCGGCCUCGGGUAUGACGGCCAGGUCGUUCCAAAUGGUGCUGCAGUGCUGGCCGUCUCCAGCCCACCAGGGAUGGGCAUGUACAUCCACCCAGCCAACGCGGCUGCUGGAUCAUUGUCCCAGGGAGGGAUGAUGAACCUGAGCUCGCCGUUGCCGGACCUCAACGCCUACGGCGGCGAGAUGCAGGAGCGAUACUACUAUCCGCCCCACAGCAACAACAACAACAUGGUGCACCAUGGACCAGAGCCGGCAUUUCAGCAGAUGUUUAGUGCACAGGGACGCAUGCAUUCUGCAUGCACGAACCUGAANNNNNNNNNNNNNNNNNNNNNNNNNNNNNNNNNNNNNNNNNNNNNNNNNNNNNNNNNNNNNNNNNNNNNNNNNNNNNNNNNNNNNNNNNNNNNNNNNNNNNNNNNNNNNNNNNNNNNNNNNNNNNNNNNNNNNNNNNNNNNNNNNNNNNNNNNNNNNNNNNNNNNNNNNNNNNNNNNNNNNNNNNNNNNNNNNNNNNNNNNNNNNNNNNNNNNNNNNNNNNNNNNNNNNNNNNNNNNNNNNNNNNNNNNNNNNNNNNNNNNNNNNNNNNNNNNNNNNNNNNNNNNNNNNNNNNNNNNNNNNNNNNNNNNNNNNNNNNNNNNNNNNNNNNNNNNNNNNGCUACUACGACAGCGAGACGGGCUGCAGCAGCGCCGGUGGGAGCGGCGAUCUGGACGAAGACGUGGUCGAGAUGGCCUCCAGGGAGUUCCAGACGUGAGGCCACACUGGACCUCACUAGCUUCAACUAAGAGGGUCCGUCCACCGGAUCGAUCCAGUACCGUAUCCAUUCAUUUUAGUUUGUCGUUUUUACCUUUCCGAACAUCUGAGUUUGUCGUUCGUUCAAUCAGCUGCUAUUGUAUACUACCUGCUUCAUCUGAAAAUACUUGUCUUUGAAAUAAAUGUAUCUAGAUGUAUUUUAAUUCUAAAUGCAUUCAUUUUUAUCCAUUUAUGCGACAAGUAAUUUCAGAUGGAGCGAGUACGCCCGAAGAACACAUCUGUGUGUUUGUGCGGCUUGGCAUGCAUGUAUCUUUAUUUUUCGUAUUCUGAGUACUUUGUCAAAGUAACUUUUACCAGACAAUUUGUUGGAGAACCUUUGUUGUACCUGUGUUUGUUUCUAGAGAUAGCUAUUCAGCCUAUGGAUUUCUGUUUCCGACAUUAUACAUUUCUGUUUCCGUAUUCUGAGUACUCUGUAAAAGUACCUUCUGCCGAACAAUUUGUCAGAGAAUCUUUGUUCUACCUGUGUUUG